UGUUCUAAUCUUGAAUUUGUCCAAAAGAUUGGAUCUUUCAAGUUUAUGAUGUAUGGGUUUGUAAAUUGGAGCUCGUAGCAGCUGAAGGGAUCAUUUUUCUAUUACUCCAGUUUCACUCAUGGGCUGCACACUUAUCAGAUUUUACUGCAAAGAGGGCUAUCUUUCUUUCAAUUUCUUGCUCUGAAAGCACAGGUCAAGGUAUAAAGUAGGCCAAGUAAUCCUUUUGCCUUUUUGCCUUUAUUUUUUUGGAGCCAUUGUUUGGGUUAUUCAUUUUCUUUAGAAUUGGGAUCAAUAUAACUACAUGUAGUGAUUAAUCAUCUUAGGCUCACUUUUGCUGAAAAGUCUUUUUUCUUUUGGGAUUUUUGUUUCAGUUUCCAUAAUUUGUUGUUGUUCGAGAAAUCUUUUGUAGUUCAUAUUUAUGAUCAGCUGAGAAGUGAGAACCCUCUGGAAGCUACUUUAAAGUGAUGAAUUGCACUCUCUCUGUAAGGAAAUGCUAUUUGUUUACUCAAUUAGGGUGUUUUUGUAUUCAUAUACUAUGCAUAGGUUGUAUGUGUGUGUGUGGAUUUUUGAAGAAGAUAUAAUUGGCGUAAAAACUUUGACUUGUCUGCAUUUGAGCAAAACUUCAAAAGAAAUCUAAUAUAUUUGGUUUACAUUAAGCCUUUUAUGUCCAAAUGCAAUAUUUGCUUAGUGCUGAACUAUUAUGCAAAUGCAAGUUUUUGACUUGGCAUUCUUUACGGUUUACUUUUGCGAUAACGCCUGAUGAGGCUUAUUUUUCUGUUUACUAGUAAGUCAGGAUGUUAUGCUGCCCAUUUUUUUUUUUUUUUUUGUGAGAGUGUGUGUGUGUGUGUGGUUUUUUUCUUUUUAACUUCUUUAAAGGCUUUCCCUAUAAGCAAACAUUAGGGCCAGCUAUUUUCUUUUUUUUUUCUUUUCUUUUUUCAAUUAUUUGGAUUUCAAAGUUGAGGAGCCAAAUCGAGUAGUUGAAUUUGUGCGUCAUACUUCAUAGGCUCCACUUGGCAGAUUGCACCAGGUGAGUAGUACAGAAGAUUGGGAGUGUUGCCCUGUUUUCCCUCAAAUUCCUGGUUCUAAAUAAGCUUGAGCAAUCCUUUUUAUGCAAAACCCAAAAAUUGUGCUACCUUCCUGCUUCUCUGCUUCUCCCAUUUUUGUGCCAAACAUGAAGUUUCCUGAUAUUCUCUGUUAGUGACUUCCUUUUUUUGUUUGUUUUUAAGAUACUUUGAGUCAUUGUUGAUAGCUUUUUGAGCAUUGACACAAUUAUAUCUCUUAAACUUGCUUAUAAUUUUCUUUUGGAGGUCAGGAAGGUUAGGGAACGGUUGUUUUUGGUGUUUGUGUUGGAAACAUGAAGUAUAUUUAACUUCUUGUCAUGUCAAAGGUCCAAACAAUGACAAUGGAUAUCUCUGCUAGAUGUUGGACCUAAAGAUGGUUUGUCAUUGUUGCUUUAUGUUGUUUCAAAGUAUUCUGCAAUAGAUUCUCUUAGGAAAAAUCAUGUUGGUUUUCUUCUGGUUUAAGGCAGAAAGCCAUUAGGUUCGUUAUAACUAAUGUACAUAAUUUGAUGUAGGAAUUCUUCAUCUGAUGUUGCAGACUAUCUUGAUCACAUCUAAUGGAGCUUGUAAGCUGGGUGCAUUUGGUUUCACACCUACAGGUCACUCAUCCAGUGAUUCAGCUAAUGUGCGGGCUUUCCACUAUGCUGUGAGUGUAAAUUUUCAUAUCACAGUGAAAAACAGAAUAUAAUUGCACGUUUUUUUUAGUUCAUUUUUCUACUGCAUUUCUAGUUAUUGAAUUUGUGAAUUGAUAGCAUUUCUUUUAUCUGAAUCUUAUUGCUGUUAAGCAUGCUGCUGGACCUGCAUUAGCUUUUUGAUUUAUCAUGGAAAAUCUGUUGUUUGAAUAGUAGUAUCUUAAACAGAUUUGGUUGCUAAUUGGUUCUUGGAAAGGUUUAACACAAAUUUUCUUCAUAAAUUAGUGCUUGGAGCUCUAUCAAUGCUAUAUCUGAGCUCAAGUAUGAGCUAUAUAUGAAGAGGAGCCAGGCAGAUCCAUAUGGUUUCAUGUUACAUUAGAGUUAGAUCUAUGUUGUUGAUGAGUAAAGAAUAGAAAGAAGUGUUGUGGGAGGGGUUUUGGAAGGACCGAAGUGCAUGAUAUAUGUAGAUUUGGUGAGUAUGAUCCUCUUAACGUGCUGGACUAUUAUGUUAUCACCUUAGACUCAAUCAAGACAAGUACAUCGAAGAUUAGGGAUGACAACGCGACAGGUGCCUGCCUUGCAGGGGAAGGAAUGGGACGGGAGAUUUUUCUCCUCCUACUUUAAAUGGGGUGGGGGAGGAUACCAAUAUAUAUUUUGACAAAAGCUUUGUCCUUCAUAUCAUUCGAUUCUUUUGAGUCUCUUUUGAUUAGUAGACAGACAAAAGAAUAUAUCAGUUUUUUGGUUAGAACUUACUGUUAUACUAGCACCAAAUGUUCUUGACUGUGAUUGCAACAUCUCCAAUUAUGGGAAGUAAGGGGCCGCUUGGUUUGAGGGGUUUGGCAUGUGGAAUGACAAUAAUUCCAAUAUUUAGUGCUUGGUACACUGUAAUGGCAAUUGAAAUAUUGGAAUCAUACCCAAUUCAUGAUUCCCGACUAAAUUGGGAGGAAUCACUCAAAACCCUCAGCUCAUUUCCAACAGUGAAUAAAUAAAAGACAAAAUAUUUUGUUAAAAUACUUUCUUUCUCCCUCUCCCAGACUUCCACCAUCGAACCUCCCCUUCCUCUCUGCCUUCAACACCUCUCUCUCCCCCAUGGCAUCUGGCAAUUCCUCCCCUUUUUCUUAUUUUUCCCUCUUUAUCAGCAUUUGACAACACCCAAAUGGGCUUGCCGGCAGAAAAAUAGAUUCAAAUGGAAGAAAUCGAAGAGGAAGCCGCACCAGCAAACACCGACAAGUCAUCACCGUUAUUAUCUGAAUUCUCCCCGUAAGAUCCGUUGGCCCGAGGUCGAGGUCCACCUCUACAAGCUUGGCAAAGGACCCAUCAAUGUCUUCAAGUCCAGCCUUAGUGGGUGGGACCAAGACUAGUUGGAGGUCACCGAUUUUUUUCCUUUUCCAUGGCAUCUGACAAAAUCUCUCUUCUUCUCCCACGGCCGGUCACUUCCACCUCAUCCCAGUAGACCCUUUCUUCUCCUCCCUUGCCAUCAAAUCGUCCUCCUCAUUGCAAUCGUUCUCCACAAAUCGUUCAAAUCUUUUAUUGAUUAGUCAUGAGUUUUUGUUGAUAAUCGUUGAACCAAAAACAAAAAAGAUUUGGAUUGGUAGUGAUUUGAUGAUGGGCGUGAUUAUCAAUCCAAGAACAAUAAUUAAAAAAUAAAAAAUUAAUUUUGAUACCAUUCCAACUAUAUUUAUACCAAGCACUAGUCCGUGGAAUAAUACCAGGGGUUCAAACCCAUACUAAUUUUUUGUAUAUCAUUCCAUCUCCAAUACCAAUUCCAAAACAUGAACCAAGCACCCCCUAAGAGUGUCCAUAAGAUGGAUUAGUGAUGACUAGAGAACCAAUUUCUGGAUGGCAAACACCACAAGCCCUCUAACAGAGAUCAAUGGCAUAGGAUUGAUGAUUUCUUAAUAUGUUAGGAUCCUAACAUGCCCCACUAGGAUUAUACCGCUACAGUGCAAUUGACCGCGUUCCAAACCCAAAAAUGAAGCCCUGUAGCUGAUAAUCAAGUAAAACGUGUGGCUAAAUAAAAAUCAGGCUAAAUAUAGUGGCCACCUCUGGGGCAUUCGUUUUGUUAUAUGUGUAGAAAAAAUGAGGCUAAAUAAAAAAUACGAAAUAUUGUGGCCACCUCCGGGGCACUCGUGAGGAUUGUGGGGCUAGGGUGGGGGCGGAGGAAGCCGGGGAUUGGGCGGGAGCGGGGAAACUUUUAUAACAUGGGGCGAGGGACGAGGAGAGCUCUCCCGCCACAUUGCCAUCUCUAUUGAUGAUGUCAUAUAAGUGAUCCAACCUGUAGACACCCAACUUUCAACUAGUUCUGUGACGACCCCACCUUCCUCUAGGACGUACCCCAGGGUUUAGCGGACCGUCUGUCUAGCUUUCACCAGGCCUCACUCACUAUUUCGGAUAAUAUAAUUCACAACUUCUUAACGUAAAUAAAACAACAGUUGUCAAAUUUGAAACAUACAAAUACAUUCAUUUUUGUCUCAAACUUCCAUACAAUCCCAAAUACAUCAAAAGAUUGGAGUUCUAAAUACAUUCAACCCUAAUCGAGCGAUUAGUGUGAUUACAAUUAUAAAAUUUUCAAAAAUUAGACUACGCUAGUCUGUAUAAGUCUCACGCCUCGCUCGUACCCCCUGUAAGGAAAAGAAAACUAAUAAAGUGAGUUAAAACUCAGUGAGGUCUCAAAUAGCAAGUUGACCAAUAAGUACAAGUGACAACACCAUAAUAGUAAAGUAGCGAGCAUUAACAAAUCAAGAAAAUGAGCAAUAACACUUUGGAUGACCAAACAUUAAAUAUUCAGUAUUUCAUGUAAAAGGAUACAGUUGCUUUUGUAAACUAGUUCCACCAUAGCUUGAUCAUAUAGUAGUUGACACUCUGUCAACUUUCAAGUAAGGUAACUAGUCCUGUAGUACAUCAUUUAACUCUAAUCUCCGUCCACCAACCAAAUCCCUUACCGGACCCGAACUCCAAGAUAAACACUGAUAGUAAUACUCGAGUAUACCGAUUAGUCGAGAAGAUAACACUCCGCUCGACAAAAACUAAAGAUUUAGGGUUCGUUAUCGAAUCGGCUAAACCCUUGCCGGUUCGAUUCGAUUAACUAGCCACAAGGUUUCUGAAAUUUCAGACAAGAUACGAAUCAUAUUCAUAUACAUCAAGUCAAUUUCAAUCAAUGAACAAGAAUAUGACACAUUAGGGCAAGUGCGAUAAAGUACAUCCUUGCUCGAUCAAACCAAUUACAUAUUAUUCGAUCACAUUGGUCAACUAUUGAAAACAAGUAUUAAGUUCAAUCAGGUAUUUGGAAGCACCCACCAAAGAUUUAGUGCUUCUUCGGAUCACGUUCAGGUAUUACUCCUGAUUUGGAGUCCAAAUCGGCGAUAAAAUAUCGUUUCAGGUAUUACUCCUAGUUUAAGAGCUUUGAAAUCAACUAAAGUUCGAAACUUAAGCGUUUCAUUUAAUGAAAAACAAGUAAUUGAAACUCAUUUGGUUUCAUGUUCUAUAAAACUCAUGCUCGAUCUUUUAGUUUUGGUAAUAAAGUGAGUAAAAUUUUGAAAUUCCCAUUUGAGUCGAAAAGACGAGAAUAACGUAUUUUUAUUGAUCGUUACUUUCAUUUUUCUCAAGGGUACGAGUUUCGGCAAAAUUCCAAAUUAUAUAUAUCUACGAAAGUAGACUCGACUACCCUAAACAAAUCAAGUUUAAUUCGUCCUCAAAUCUUGGCCUAAGUCGCGAGUACACACGCCUAACUCUUGAGUGAAAAUUUGGGCGGUACGUCCUUUGUAUUUCGUUAUUUUUCAGCAAUUUAUGGCUUUAUUAUUUCCUCAAUUCAGCCCAAGGUCACGCAUAAGCAAUAUUAACACAAUAGCCUUUUAACUAAACUCAAAGUCAUCCAAUUACAAUACAAGUUUAGCAAUGCAACCGGAAACCAAUUUUAAAGACAAAGGCUAAACAGAAGGUUUGAUGUCUCUUGGCGUUUCGGUCACAACUGAAACUACACUUAUCGGUUUGAGGUAAAUUUUAUGGCGUUUUGAAUCUAAGACAGAGAAUUAUAUUUCCUAUGAAGGUAUCAACAUCUAGUUCGUGCAUUUUCAAGGUUAAAAUAUGCAAUCUCAGAGAAAACAGAAAACUAUCCUCGAAAAAGAGCAUUCGGCAGUCAAGGGUAUUUUAGUCAUUUCACACGUUAUGGUGCUCCGAUUGAGUUGAAAUUUUGCAGGCAGCUAGUUAACUCUAUUCCAUACAACUUUCAUGUUUUAAUUUAGACCUGAUUCAGCCUCUAUCAUACUCGGAUAUACAGGUCAGAAACAGGACAGUUUGGCCUACAAUUUUUGGAAUUUGAUGAUUCAAUACUUGAAAAUCACAUUUAUGUCUUGAAUCACUACUCCAAGUCCCUAUUUAAGUUCAUCAAUAUCAUAUACUAGAUAAAAACAAGAAUCACAACUGAAAAUACCAAAUCCUAGCUAAACAUUCCAUCAUAUCAUGUAAAACUCACUAAUUAACCAUCAUAAACCAAGAUUAAGAGCUUCUAUUCAAACUUUAGCAAAAUUGAGAAGAGAAAAAGGAAAGGCAGCCAUAAUACCUUUCAAGGCUGCUUGUAGGAGAAAAUCACAACCCUUCCUUCCAAAACUUUAUCACACAAAACUUCCUAAGUUUUCAAGUGAAAGUUUAAUUGAUUUAGAUUUUUGAUUCAACUCAAACAAGGUCAAAAAUCAAGAUUGGAAUUGAAGUGUUUCUUUCCUCUUUUCUCUCUUAAACUCUCGGCCACCUUGGAGGAUAAUGAGGAAGAAAUGAAGCUCAAGAAAAGAUAAGAAUGUUCGAAUUGGUUUGGUCAAACAAUCUUUGGAUGGUUGCCAAGUGUCGCCGCAAGAUUAAGUCCUUAAUUUUUCUUCUUUUUCCUUUCUUUUUGGUCAACAAUUUCGGCCCUCUCUGGGAUAAUCAAGAGCUGAUAUUUCUGAAAUAAUAGGUAAUAAAUUGGUAGUCAAGUAGUGUAUGCAAUCGGGUAAUGAAUGAUAUGCAUCGGUUCAAAUCGAUUUUCCUUGAAUCACGUGUAUUAGUGUUUUUAUUUAUGAUUCACUCACUUAUGAUUAUCACUUCUAAACAUACAUGAUGGGAUUUUUAUAUCAAUACAAGUUUAAAUCUGAUUUUAUACCUGUUGACUGUAAGUGUACAGGCCGAAAUCGUAAUGUAGGGUAUGUAUCAGGUCGAUCCCACGAGAAGCAAAUUAAACAAGUACUAGGUUCUUAUUUUUCUCUAUUAUUUAGACUUGCAAUAAAUCUAAGUAAGAAAAUUAUUAUGCUGCUAUUGUUUACAAAUAUGGUUUAAUUAAUGUUAAAUGCAAAUGGAGAAAUUUCACUAAAGAUUGAAUUUAGGGAUGUAGAUUUCACUUAUGGCAUAAACAACACAAAUGAAUAGAUUUGCCUCUUGUUAUUUUUCUUGUUUAAUCAGGGAUUCAUUUCCAAUAUUAUCAAAUCUCAUUCUCAUGAUGAAAUGGUUUAGAGUAAUAUAGGGUUUGUUUGGAUUGCUUCAUAUUUCCCCAAUUUUAUUUACUUACAUCAUCUUUACAAUUUCCAAUACACCUUUUUAUCUUCUCAAUAUCUUUUUAUCUCACAUACAUCACAUCACAAAAAGUGCUACAGUAAAAAUAUCUCAAAUAAUCCCAAAUAACUUACAAUCCAAACAGACCCAUAGUUUUCCCUAUUUUUAUGGUGAAAUACUAGUUCUACUCUGUUUUCCUUCAUGAAAUACUGGAAAAUCCACUCAAGUUUACAUCUAUUUUUAUGAACAUACAACUCAAGAUCAACUCAUGUUUUUUCAUUGUUACUAUCAAUUCCCAUUGACUAAUAACAACUAUGAACAUGCUAUUGGUGAUCAAACAACAAGAAGUAAUUACAACUGCACAAAUAGACAAGUUAAUACAAGAUAUAACAAGUGUAAAUCACAUUCAAUUCAUAUUAUUUAGCCAUAAGUUUCAUCUACUUCUUAGAUAAAGAAAAUUAGCUACUCAUGAAUGAAAUAAAAAUCAAACUCACAAGUUUAUUAAUGCAAAACAUCAUAAAGUACAACUACAAGAAAGAUAAAAGAAAGCUUAGCCAAUUAAUGGUGAAACCUUCAAAUUUCUGCUAUGUUCUUGUAUAAGAUGAUUAUAAGAUGAGUCUUCAAUUGUUUUCUCAAGAACUUCUAACUAGAGAGAAAAUGUUAUCAGAUGAAAAACUCCCUACGUAUGGCGUCCAGACCUCUUUUAAUGUCUCUGCAUAAAAACUGUUCAAGAGCUCCAUUUUUCCAAGUUAAAUUCCACCUUUUGAUUCCUAAAUCUCAACUUUGUUAGAAUAGUCAAUAACCAAUGUUUUUGACUUGAAAAUAAGUCACCUUUCUUGUCCUUUUGUCUUCUGAAGCAUGUGCACCGAGUUCCCUUGUAAUUUAUGGCUGGAAAGUAGUAUAAAUACAAGAGAAAUGGCUGAACAAAUUGCAGCUUUUCGGCUACAAAACGCGACUACACAAAACGCGGCAUAAACUCGCGUUUUGUUAACUUGGCCUUGCUUCAACUGCGAUUUUCUCUAUGGUGAAGGUCGAACUAGCUUUUGUGUAAAACACAAAAGUUGCAGCCCUUUGAGUUAGCUUUACAAUGCUUUAAAAAUCAUCCAAAUCGGAGUUUUGUAGCCAGAUAUAUGGUCGAAAUACUAUCGUCUGGUCAAACCCCUGUUUCGAUUUUUGACCAUAGAAUGCAGUUUCUGUAUUCCAACUUUUUGUCCAUGAAAACUGCAGAAUUGGAUUUUGAUGUCUUCAUAACAAUUGUAGGUCUCUUUCUUAUGUUUAAAAUGGUAUAAAGAUUACCUCAAUCCGAUAAGUGUAGUUCCAGAUAUAGUCGAAAUAUCGAAGAGUGUCAAAACUGUCUUGAAUUGCAUUUCCUCAUUUUGAACGUUUUUCACUUCAUUUCUCUUUUAAGCACUUGAAUUCAUCACCAAUUAUUUAUUUUUCAUCUCACUUGACAUUCUUUGGUGAUUGAAUCAUUAAACCUGCAUAAAAAUGAAGUUUUUAUCACUAAAAUCAAUAAAAAUGUAAUAACGGCCACUUUUACCAAAUAAUGUAUAUUUUUACUAAAAUCUAUUUAUUUUAGUUAUAAAACUAAAUAAUCAAAACCAAAAUCAACUAAUACAAUGCACUUAAAAAUAUGUAAAAUAAACUCUUAUCAAAUAUCCCCACACUUGAAUCAUUGAUUGUCCUCAAACAAUUAAAAACACUAACCAACAAUGAUUCCAAGAUUGAAAAUAAACAUACGUAGCAUUUCAACUUCAUUUCCUUGAAUCAAGGUAAAUAACCCUUAUGUGAUCUUUCAAUUAACUUCAAAUACUCAUAGUAUCAAACAAAGAAGAGCCUAGUAUGUGGCGACCCCACUUCUCCCUAAGGCAAACCAACGGGUUGGCGGGCCGCCUGUCCAACUCUCGCCAGGACUCACGCAAGCAUUCUAACCCAAAUUCUUUCGAAGAAUAAUCUAAUCUAUUACAAAACAAUUCUCCCGAAAAAGACCGUAACUAAAAUCACAUUAACUUCAGAGAUAGCAGUGAUUUAAAAUAGCCAAUCGAAGCUCUAAAACGUCCCACGUGCUACAUACAAGGUAUAAAGUCGUAUCAAUCCAGAUGGAUAAUUACAUACAUCACUAUUACAAACUUACAAGUCAAACACUCGAAUUAGGGUUUACACAUUUUCCAGUUUCAAGUGGCAAUCCAAAAUGAAAGUACAUAAUCUCAAUUAACGCAUUACAGCCCACAAAAUAAGUCUUAGUAUUCAAAUACAUUCCAAAAGGAAAACAUGAGUAAGUUUCAAAGCUUUCAACUUCCAGAGCCUGUUAAGAAAAACAAAUAAACGUGGGGUGAGCUAACGCUCAGUGGUGCCCAAAAACAUGCAAUCAUGUAAAUCAAACACCGAGUAAUAACUUAACCAAAUUGAACAGUUAGGAAAGCGUAUAACAGCACAAGGUAGGAUACAGGGGCUCUCAGGAGCCAUUUUCCUCGCUUAAUCACCAUUCAUCGUAGUUGACCCUCCGUCAACUCUCACUAUUUAUAGUCCAUGUAGAUCCACUCAUUUUUACUCAUAACCCGUCACCGUUCAUACCCCUGUCCCGGACCCGAACAACGACUAAGAACGCAGUAUACUCGAGAUAUACCCGUAGAUGAUUGAUCGAGGGAUUCACCCAACGACGUUAUUGUAGUAAGAUUCAUGCGUCGAAGGAUUCACCCAACGACGUUAUUGCGUUUAGAUUCAUGAGAAAAUGAUUCACGCAAGUCACCACUCGAACGGCUAAUGCGAUAAAGUACACACUGCUCACUUCGAUGCAUCAAAAACUAGUUUGCAAAUUAUCACAUAUUGAGUCAAGAAAGCACUUUAACCAAGUAAGCAUAGAACAAGCAGGGACACUCACCAAGAGUGAAGUUCAGAUGUCAAAUUGGGAAUCGAAUUUCGCGUCCUAGCAAUAUCCUAGAAUACCAAAUUUUGAAACUAUAAGUUUUUAUUCAGUUUUUAAGCUUAUACACAUCGAGAUUUAUCUAAUAUAUUACUAGUUUACUUUCCCAUAGUAAAUUCAAGAAUCUACUUAGGUUGAAGCUUGACAAAAGUAGUAGAAAUGUUUCUUAUAGUUUUCCUUGAGAUAUUUUUCCUUAUAAAAGGGUAACUAGUAUUAUUUUUUUGAAAUAAGUCGACAAACCUCUUAACAUCAAAGCUAGAAAGAUACCUUGAAAAUUUCUUUAAAGCUACGGUUCUUGCAAAAAUUAUCACUAAAACUGUUUUACCUAAAAUAAAGUUUCUUGCCGAGCAAGUUUCUACAUUUUUAAUUAAAGUUAUUAAAAUUCUUAUUUUGGAACUUUUCCUACCGACAACUAUCCAAGGGCAAAUUUUAAAGAAAGAAAAGGAAUUAAAAUAAGAUUUAGGGUUUUUAAAAGCUAGAGAAAUUAUUUUCUAUAACUAUCAAGGUUAGUUUGAACUAAAGGAAAAUUUCGAGUUGGCAAGGUUUAGAAAAUCCUUUCACGAAAUUUCUAACUUUAACCUUCAGUGCUAAGUUCUAUCGUACCAUACUAGAGUGAAGAUAUAUUUAAAUAGCUUGCUUAAAAACUUCUCAAGUUCACAGGACCAAAAUGAAUUCCUUACGAUUCCGAUUUACAAGCACAUAAUAUUUCAGAUUUGUCAAUAUGACCAACUCACAUUUCAAAUAGAAAUCUCACUAGGGUUUCGUCAAUCAUUAGCCCUAGGUUUCAACAGAUUCAAUUCUGAUCAAAAAUAAAACGAAUGACCAAGGUUUCGUCAAUCAUUAGCACUUGGUUUUGGCAAGCUCAUAUCACAUUUUAAUUAAAACAAAAUGAAGGUAAGACCUCCAAGAAAUUCCAGCAAUUAAAGUUCAUCAUCCUUUAAUAUUUAUAAAAUCAUUCAAAUGGCCAAGGGUUUCAUCAAUCAUUAGCCCUUAACAACCAUCAAUCACUUCCAACCACAAUUAAAUCAGGAAUUCAAAUCACAAUUAAGCUAAAUGUUCAAUCCAAGUCAAAAUUCAGUUUCAUGAAGAAACAGGACAUUCAAGCAGGACAGCCUACUUUGAGGAAUCAUGGACAGCAGUACACAUGGAGGAAAAAUAUGAAAUUUCUACAGAACCAAGGCUCAUGAUUCUAGUUUCAAAUGCCAUUGACGGCACCUUAAACGGAUUUUCCUACACCAAGAUAUAAGCAUUUUAUUGAGACUGGUCAGUGAAAUCCGAAAAUCUGAAGACUCAUUUUUCACUUGUGAAAAACUCCUUUUUCUCUUUUAACACCAUAAGGUUUUUAUUCAAACCAUCCAUACAUUUCUUAUAGAACUCUAAAACAACAUAUUUCAGACAUUUCCAACCAUUAUGUUUCAAAGAAAAAUUUUAAAACCAAGUUGAGAUUCCAACUCAACCUUCGGCUACCACAAAAGAAAUUCCAGCAUUUAUAUGCCAAUAUUUUUGGUUCAAUCUUUCAAUAUAUCCAAUAUUUUAUUGCUAAACAACUUACACAACUUAAAAUUUACAUCUCCUAUGUAUUUCUAAAUCAUUAUAUUCCAAGGGGAAAAAAAUAAAAUAAAAUAAAUUUCCAGAAACCAAUUAAAAUUUUCAAAGACAAACUGAAAAUUCUGGUUCAUAACCCUCGGCCAUCAAUACCUUUCCAGCACUUAGGGUUUUAUAAAUCCAACUUUUCCUUGGCUAAAACAUGAUUUUAGAUUCUCAAAUUCGUCAUGUGAACCUUUGGCUAGCUAAUUAACAUUUCUGGUUCAAAAUCGAAUUCGAAUAACAGUUUCAAACAUCCCAAAAGUCCAGAAAUCUGUCCAGCUAGUCACGGAUGAACAUGUAUGAAGAAACUUUCUGUUUUCAUUUUAUUUUCUUGGUUAAAACAUAGUAUUACUUACUCAAAUUUGACUUGUAAACACUUAGUUAACCGAUUAACAUUUCCAGCUCGAAAUUAAGUUCAAACAACUGUUAUAAUCCUCAAAAUUUUCAGGUUUAACUCACGGUAGUUCAGAAAAAAUUUUUUUAGAAAUUGUAUGUUCUUAAUCUAGCUUUUUCCUUGGCUAAAUCAGUAUUUUAGGAACUCAAAUUCAACAUGCAAAGCCUUAAUUGUAUUAAUCAUCCAAGUUUAAGUUAACUAAUCAUAAUCUUAGGUUUUGAUCAUCACAACAAAGCAGAUUACAUCAUGAAAUUCUUAAUCAAUUCUUGGUCAACUAUUUUCUUUUCAAAACAGAAUUUUCUUAUGCCUUAACAUCAUCAUCCGAGUCUAGAUUCCACAUGCAACACCCUAAUCAACUUAAUCUUUCACUUUUUAGUUAACUAAUCAUGAUCUCAACCUCAGGUUAUCAAAAUUGGAUAGAUUAGAAACUGCAUUACUUUGCUAAUCUCUCGGCCGAACUAUUUAGCCAUCCAGUUAGAUUUUUCUUUUUCUAAUGUCUCAUCCGAUGGUUUAAAAUCAACAUGCAAAGGUGGAACUAACUUAUUCAUCUUGUCUUAAGUUAGGGAGACGCAUCUUUAAGUUCAGAUUGUCACAGGGAUGCAAAAAUAAAGCUACAUUUCCAAACCAGUUCCUCGGCAAAAACAUUUUCAUCAAAACAGAAUUUUCUAGUGUCUUGAAUUUAUCAACCGAUUGCACAAGCAACACAUGCAGGCACUGAUAUGUCUUUAUCUAUUAGUAAUUAACCUAAUUUAGCCCAGCAAUUACCUCAGAUACAAGCUAAGCCUACGCACAAGAAGUCUGGAAUUUCUUUCUUCCUCUCGGCUCUCACGCACGGCUUGGAGGGUUGGUUGCGGUUGCAGUGGUUGCGGCUGAGAACUGGUUGCAGCUGGUGGAGAUGGAGGUGCAGAAUGGUGAAGCUCACUCACGAUUUUCUCCCUGGUUUCGCUCCAGCUCACGGCAGAACCAGAAAAUUUUGCAACUCACGGCUUCUUCUCUCAGUUCCUCUUUGUCGAUGAUAACGAGACAAAGAGGAAAUGUGGUUGUGGAGAGGAAGUGUUGUGGUCUGAGGGAAUUUUGUGCAGAGGAAAUGGAAUGGUGGUUUAUGAUAUAGGAACGAAGAGGUAGAGAUAUGGUGCCACGGUUUUGGAGAAGGGUUUGAGUGUAGGAAAUGGUUACAUAUAGAAUUGGUGAAAAUGUGAUUGGCCGAUUGGGGCGGUGAUUGAGAUGCUGUCAGAAGGAUUGUUUGGUUUUGCAUGAAAAUGUUGUGGUUGUAAGGCAUUUUAGUCUUUUCACUUUGCUUCCUAACCUCUACUUAAAUUCUCCAUUCUAAUUUUAAAACAAAAAAUUAUCCCCAAGUGUGAUUUGAACGCCUAAUUAUACACUAGUAUACUUAAACCAUUUUUUUAUCGAAUAUUUAUCGAUUAAAAAUUUAAUAUUAAGGUUCCUAGUAAUUCCUAACAUUAUUUAGCGAUUAAAUUAGUUAUCAGAAUUUUCAAUUAUUUAUUCUCAAGAGAUAGAGUUAGUCUAACUCGAAAUUUAUCAAUUUAGUAAUAUAAGGUCAAAUGAAAUAAUAAUUUAAUACAAGUGUGUCAGUUUGCACAUAAAAAUUAUUUUUACGUACUUAAUUGCGAACAAGCAAAAGUAAUGCUAGAAAUUAUUAAGAAAUAAAAGAAAUGCAAAUGAAAUAUGCACUGGCUUAUAUAUCUAUUUAGUCUAAUCUCCAAAUCGGCUAUGCGGUCGAACUGGGUAUCCACCAUGAUACUCAGCUCCUCCACAUCCUGGGUCAAGGUGUGGUUAGUGUCCCACAAGUGGCGGCGCUCAUCAUCAAGGGAUAACACCAAGGCGUUGGGAUACGCGUACGUGGCUCUACACUGGCAUCUAGGGUGGCUAUCAGCAGGUGGUAUCAGAGCCUAGGUUAGAAAAGUUAUUUGAAAGACAUAUUAGAUAUGUUAGAAACCCUAAUCCUCUCUAGGAAUAAGAAUUGAGACCAUUAGAUAUACCUUAAGUGAUAUCUGACCCAGUUAGCUAUUUAAGUUCUAACCCUUAAGUAUUGAUUAUUUUGCAGGUAUGGAGAAUGGUAAUGGACAUGUUAAUGGUAGUAGCGCGGCUAAUGGACAUGUAGAGCUGCUGAGAUCCAUUUCCUAUAGGCCUCGAGGUGGAGGAGACCGAGUUUGAUACUCACCUGCUGAUAGGCACCCUAGAUGCCAGUGUAGAGCCACGUAUGCGUAUUCCAACGCCUUGGUGUUAUUCCUUGAUGAUGAGCGCCGCCACUUGUGGGACACUAACCACACCUUGACCCAGGAUGUGGAGGAGCUGAGUAUCAUGAUGGAUACCCAGUUCGACCGCAUAGCCGAUUUGGAGAUUAGGCUAACUGCUGAGCAUAAUAUGCUGGAGGCCGCUCGUUUGGAGAUAGAGCGACAGAGGUUUAGGGUGACCCGACUAGCUGAGGGGAUCCGUGAUAGGAGUGCUGGCAUCAGGGCUGAUGCAGCUAUGCUUAUGGACGAGGCCACUAGUUACCUUCAGGGUAACGAGCAGGCAGGCGCAGAGGAGGAUCCGGCGGAGGACGUCGCCCCUGAUAGCCCUGCUGAGGGUUAGGUUAGGUUGACUUGAUAGUACUAGAUAUGUAGGAUCAGAAAAGGAAUAUUAGUCAAGUUAUCAAAUUUUGUCUAGGUGAAUGACUUGCUUCCGAGGCACCAUAUUCCUAAUUUUUGUUUAAGGGAUUAUCUGUAUAUAUUUUUCCUAACUUAUGUGCCUUAUUUUUGAAAAUGUUCCAACUUGUUAAUUGUAUAACUGUUCCGCAGAAAUAUAUGAUAAGUGUUUCAUUUCCUUUUCCUCCAUUUUCAUGUUGAUUUUAAUCACAUAAAGAAUAUUAAUAAUUGAAUAUAAAUAAAAUUUUGCUUAAUUGUCUUACUCUUCAGUAAUAGGCAUAAUUAGGCAAUGGGUCGUCAAGUAGUAGGAAGGAGCCGUGGGAGACCCACUAGACAACACCCGGAAGCGGGUGGUGAUAGGGAACCCGAGCUCAAUCGAGACCAAGGCAAGAGGGAGUGGCCGGAGAUCGAGUGGCCACCGCAAUUAACCGUAUCACUGACGUCCUAAAGCGUUUGACUGAACACCAACCCUCUGGACCAGUGCACCGCCAAGGAGGCCGAACCGAUUCCGAGGAUCAGGCACUGGAGAGGUUUUUGAAGUUUGGACCUCUUAAGUUCUACGGAGGACCCGAACCUGAGAUAGCUGAGGGAUGGUGGGAGAGAAUCUCCGACAUCUUCGCAGCUUUAAACUACACGGAAGAACGGCAGGUGACUUUCGCCGCAUUCCAGUUUGAGGGAGCUGCUCGCUCAUGGUGGAAUCUGGUUAGGAUUAACUGGGACAGGAAUCAUACUCCAAGAACUUGGGCAAACUUCACAAGAGAGUUCAAUGCCAAAUUCCUUCCACCUCUCAUUCAAGAGAAGAGAGAAGAUUUCAUUAGAUGCAAGCAAGGGGCGAUGAGUGUUGUCGAAUAUGAAGUCCAGUUCACAAAGCUAUCCCGCUUUGCACCUGAGUUGAUAACCACUGAGCAAAGGCGUGUCUGGAGGUUUGUGCAGGGUUUGAAUGUGGAACUACAGGAAGGUUUAGCCGCCGUGAGGAUAGAUACUUUUGCAGAUGCUGUCGAAAGAGCUCAGAGAGUUGAAGUAGCUAGAGCUCAAGUGAAAUCUUUUCAGGCUAAGAAAAGAUUUGCCCCCAACAGUAGUUGAGAGCCGACGUAUGGAAAUGUUCCACCGGCUAAAGUGGGCCGAGGAACAAGCGGAGUGACUAGUCCCGGAGCACCGCGAGGUGCACUAGCAAGAGGAACCGGGGCAAGGAAUGCAGGGGGAAGAAGCAAUGGAACUAGAGGGGGACCGAUUGGGAGAAGGACAACCUAGGAAUAACUCGCAGGGAGGUCGAGCAAUAAUUCCUCAAGUGACCUGUACUUAUUGCAAGAAACCUAGUCAUACUAUGGAUGGCUGCUGGAAGAAGCAAGGAAGGUGCUUGAGAUGCGGAAGUAGCGAGCACUAAAUUUCUGGAUGUCCAAAAAUACAGGAAGGGACUACUUCGAACGCUAGACCAAACACUUCUGGAGGGAGCCGGCCGACAGUUCCUGCCAGAGUGUAUGCUAUAGAUGACCAACCUGUACCUGAUUCCUCGGAAGUCGUGGAAGGUACUCUCCCCAUUUUUCAUCGAUUAGCUAAAGCGUUAAUUGACCCUGGUGCAACUCAUUCAUUCGUAAAUACAUCUUUUAUGUCUGGAAUAGAUGUGAAACCUGUUAGAUUAUCCUUCGAUCUUGAAGUUAGGACACCAAUGGGUAAUAAGAAGAUAAUCGCUAGCUUAGCCUAUAAGAAUUGUGAAUUCUGGAUUGGAGAGCGUAAAAUGCUAGUGGAUCUAAUCAGUUUGGACAUAAAAGGGUACGAUGUUAUCAUAGGAAUGGAUUUCCUACGCCAGUAUCAUGCUAAGCUUGAUUGCCGAGCGAAAGUGGUAGAAUUCUGUAUACCUGGAGAAGCAACCCUGAGGUUAGAUGUUAAGGGUAGGUUAGCAUCAUCUGCUAUGAUCUCAGGGAUACGGGCGAGGAAAAUGUUGUCAAAAGGAGCUCAAGGUUUCUUAGCCUUCUUGAUUAAUGCUCCCAGUGAUCAAGUGAAGUUAGAAGAUGUACUAGUGGUACGGGAAUUUCCGGAUGUUUUUUUCGAAGAGCUAAAGACUCUACCGCCGGAAAGAGAAGUGGAAUUUAAGAUUGACUUGGUGUCUGGAACAGCUCCAAUUUCUAAAACUCCGUACCGAAUGGCUCCUGCCGAGGUAAAGGAGUUGAAAAUUCAACUGCAAGAUCUCUUGGAGAAAGGUUUUGUGAAGGAGAGUGAUUCACCGUGGGAAGCACCCGUUCUAUUUGUUAAGAAAAAGGACGGAAGCUUGAGAUUAUGUAUCGAUUACCGAGGGUUAAAUGAGAUUACAAUUAAGAAUAAAUACCCUUUACCGUUGAUAGAUAGUUUGUUCGACCAACUGCAAGGGUCAGUAGUUUUCUCUAAACUGGACUUGAGGCAAGGGUAUUACCAGUUAAAGAUUAAAAAGGAGGAUAUACCCAAGAUUGCUUUUAGUACGAGAUAUGGACAUUCUGAGUUCGCAAUCAUGCCUUUUGGUUUAACUAAUGCACCAGCGGCAUUCAUGGAUUUAAUGCAGAGAGUCUUUAAGAAGUAUCUGGAUCAGUUUGUAGUGGUUUUCAUCGACGAUAUCUUGAUAUACUCUAAGACUCGAGAGGAACAUGUUAAGCACUUGGAGAUAGUCUUGUAAAUAUUAAGGGAGUAGAAGCUGUAUGCCAAAUUCAGCAAGUGCGAGUUUUGGCUGGAAGAAAUAUCUUUUCUAGGACAUAAAGUUUCCAAGGAGGGAAUUGCCGUGGAUCUGGCAAAAGUUGAGGCCGUUAUGAAUUGGAAGCAGCCGGAAAUUCCAACUGAAGUUAGAAGUUUCUUGGGAUUAGCAGGUUAUUAUAGGCGAUUUAUCAAGGAUUUUUCGAAAAUUGCUGGACCCAUGACCGAGCUAACCAAGAAAGGGAAUAGGUUCAUUUGGACUUCGAAGUGCGAGUCAAGUUUUCAGGAAUUAAAGAAGCGUUUAACAUCCGCUCCUGUUUUGGUGUUACCUGAUGGGAAAAAAGGUUAUGCCGUAUACUUCGAUGCUUCUGGAGAAGGUCUAGGAUGUGUUUUAAUGCAAAAUGGUAAAGUGAUUGCCUACGCUUCCAGGAGACUGAAACCUCACGAACAAAACUACCCAACUCAUGACUUAGAGUUAGCAGCAGUGAUUUUCGCCUUAAAGAAAUGGAGACACUACUUGUAUGGCGUGACUUUUGAGAUUUAUACGGACCAUAAGAGUCUCAAGUAUUUGUUCUCCCAGAAGGAACUAAAUUUGAGACAAAGGCGAUGGGUACAAUUUGUGGAAGAUUAUGACUGUUCAAUUAACUACCACCCAGGAAAAGCUAAUGUGAUAGCUGACGCUCUAAGUAGAAAGGCCCAAGUAGCAGGGUUAAUGGUUAAAGAGUGGGACAUGCUAGAAGAAAUAAGUGGUUGGAACCCUCGCUUGGAGAAACUGAAGAUAUUAUUUGGGAACUUAUCGUUAAAAUCACCAUUACUAGAGCGUAUUAAGGAGGCCCAGAAAAUGGACCCUAUGAUUCAGAAGAAUUUGGAGAAAGUGCAAAAAGGGGAAACCCUAGAUUUUAACUUAGGGUUUGAAGGUGUAUUGAGAUUCCGAAAUCGAAUUGUGAUUCCGGCAGAUGAAAAGAUAAGAAAAGAAAUUUUAGAAGAAUCACAUCGAUCGAAGUAUACCAUACAUCCAGGGGUGACUAAGAUGUAUCAUGAUGUGAAGGGAUUAUACUGGUGGGAAGGUUUGAAAAAGAACGUGGCCGAGUUUGUACAGAGAUGCUUGAUCUGCCAACAAGUAAAAGCUGAGCAUCAGAAGCCCUCUGGUUUAUUGCAACCGUUAGAAAUCCCUGAAUGGAAAUGGGAACAUAUAACAAUGGAUUUUGUAACGGGAUUGCCUAGAAGUCAAAAAGGAUUUGAUGCAAUUUGGGUAAUAGUUGACCGACUCACUAAAUCUGUACAUUUCCUACCCAUAAGCAUGAGUUUUUCUUUGGAAAAACUGGUCAAGUUGUACACAGAAGAGAUCCUAAGAUUACAUGGUAUCCCUGUAAGUAUCGUGUCUGAUCGAGACCCAAGGUUUGUCUCGCGUUUUUGGCAGAAAUUUCAGGAGUCUUUGGGGACCAAGUUGAAAUUUAGUACUGCUUACCAUCCCCAAACCGACGGGCAGGCGGAAAGAACAAUUCAAACUUUGGAGGAUCUGCUGAGAUCGUGUAUAUUGGAUUUUGGAGGUAAAUUGAGUAAUUAUAUGACCUUAAUAGAAUUUGCGUAUAACAACAGUUAUCAAACCUCAAUUCAAAUGGCACCUUAUGAAGCUUUGUAUGGGAGAAGGUGUCGAUCUCCGAUUAAUUGGGAUGAAAUAGGAGAGAAGAAGAUUGUAGAUCCAACAGCGAUACCUUGGAUAGAAGAAACCCAGGAGAAAGUGAAACUAAUUAGAGAAAGGCUUCAAACCGCUCAGAGUAGACAAAAGAGCGACGCCGACACAAGGAGGAAAGAUUUGGAAUUCGAAGUAGGAGACAAGGUCUUCCUAAGAAUUAAAUCCUUGAAGGGCGGAGUAGUGUCUAAGAAAGGUAAGAAGCUAAAGCCAAGGUAUAUCGGACCUUUCGAAAUUUUGAAGCGAGUUGGGAAUGUAGCAUAUCAGCUGAAGUUACCCGCAAGCAUGGCUAAGGUUCACGAUGUAUUUCACGUUUUCAUGCUUAAGAAAUAUUAUUCCGACCCAAGUCAUGUGCUGCCACUGGAGGGAAUUGAAGUGGAUGAGACGUUAACGUAUGAAGAAGGACUGGUCAAGAUUUUGGAAAGAAAAGUGAAGGAGCUGAGGAAUAAGAAAAUUCCUUUGGUAAAGAUUGUAUGGAGAAAUCAUGGACUUGAGGAAGCAACUUGGGAAUUGGAGGAGGAAAUGCAGAAAAAGUACCCUGAUUUAUUUCCUUAGAAUGUGUGAAUUUUGAGGACAAAAUUCUUUGUAAGGAGGGGAGGAUGUGAGAACCCUGAAAAUAGAUAUAUAAGCCAGUGCAUAUUUCAUUUGCAUUUCUUUUAUUCCUUAAUAAUUUCUAGCAUUACUUUUACUUGUUCGCAAUUAAGUACGUAAAAAUAAUUUUUAUGUGCAAACUGACACACUUGUAUUAAAUUAUUAUUUCAUUUGACCUUAUAUUAUUAAAUUGAUAAAUUUCGAGUUAGACUAACUCUAUCUCUUGAGAAUAAAUAAUUGGAAAUUCUGAUAACUAAUUUAAUCGCUAAAUAAUGUUAGGAAUUACUAGGAACCUUAAUAUUAAAUUUUUAAUCGAUAAAUAUUCGAUAAAAAAAAUAGUUUAAGUAUACUAGUGUAUAAUUAGGCGUUCAAAUCACACUUGGGGAUAAUUUUUGGUUUUAAGAUUAGAAUGGAGAAUUUAAGUAGAGGUUAGGAAGCAAAGUGAAAAGACUAAAAUGCCUUACAACCACAACAUUUUCAUGUAAAACCAAACAAUCCCUCUGACAGCAUCUCAAUCACCGCCCCAAUCGGCCAAUCACAUUUUCACCAAUUCUAUACGCAACCAUUUCCUACACUAAAACCCUUCUCCAAAAUCGCGGCACCAUAUCUUUACUUCUUCGUUCCUAUAUCACAAACCACCAUUCCAUUUCCUCUGCACAAAAUUUUCUCAGACCACAACACUUCCUCUCCACAACCACAUUUCCUCUUUGUCUCGUUAUCAUCGACAAAGAGGAACUGAGGGAAGAAGCCGUGAGCUGCAAAAUUUUCUGGUUCUGCCGUGAGUUGGAGCGAAACCAGGGAGAAAAUCGUGAGUGAGUUUCACCAUUCUGCACCUCCAUCUCCACCAGCUGCAACCAGCUCUCAGCCGCAACCACUGCAACCGCAACCAACCCUCCAAGCCGUGCGUGAGAGCCGAGAGGAAGAAAGAAAUUCCAGACUUCUUGUGCGUAGGCUUGGCUUGUAUCUGAGGUAAUUGCUGGGCUAAAUUAGGUUAAUUACUAAUAGAUAAAAACAUAUCAGAGCCUGCAUGUGUUGCUUGUGCAAUCGGUUGAUGAAUUCAAGACACUAGAAAAUUCUGUUUUGAUGAAAAUGUUUUUGCCGAGGAACUGGUUUGGAAAUGUAACUUUAUUUUUGCUUCCCUGUGACAAUCUGAACUUAAAGAUGUGUCUCCCUAACUUAAGACAAGAUGAAUAAGUUAGUUCCAGCUUUGCAUGUUGAUUUUAAACCAUCGGAUGAGACAUUAGAAAAAGAAAAAUCUAACUGGAUGGCUAAAUGGUUCGGCCGAGAGAUUAGCAAGGUAAUGCAGUUUCUAAUCUGUCCAAUUUUGAUAACCUGAGGUUGAGAUCAUGAUUAGUUAACUAAAAAGUGAAAGAUUAAGUUGAUAUGAGUGUUGCAUGUGGAAUCUAGACUCGGAUGAUGAUGUUAAGGCAUAAGAAAAUUCUGUUUUGAAAAGAAAAUGGUUGACCGAGAAUUGAUUAAGAAUUUCAUGAUGUAAUCUGCUUUGUUGUGAUGAUCAAAACCUGAGAUUAUGAUUAGUUAACUUAAACUUGGAUGAUUAAUACAAUUAAGGCUUUGCAUGUUGAAUUUGAGUUCCUAAAAUGCUGAUUUAACCAAGGAAAAAGCUAGAUUAAGAACAUACAAUUUCUGGAAAAUUUUUUUUGUGAACUACCGUGAGUUAAACUUGGAAAUUUUGAGGAUUAUAACAGUUGUUUGAACUUAAUUUCGAGCUGGAAAUGUUAAUCGGUUAACUAAGUGUUUACAAGUCAAAUUUGAGUAAGUAAUACUAUGUUUUAAUCAAGAAAAUAAAAUAAAAACAGAAAGUUUCUUCAUACAUGUUCAUCCGUGACUAGCUGGACAGAUUUCUGAAUUUUUGGGAUGUUUGAAGCUGUUAUUCGAAUUCGAUUUUGAACCAGAAAUGUUAAUUAGCUAGCCAAAGGUUCACAUGACGAAUUUGAGAAUCUAAAAUCAUGUUUUAGCCAAGGAAAAGUUGGAUUUAUAAAACCCUAAGUGCUGGAAAGGUAUUGAUGGCCGAGGGUUAUGAACCAGAAUUUUCAGUUUGUCUUUGAAAAUUUUAAUUGGUUUCUGGAAUUUUAUUUUAUUUUAUUUUUUUCCCGUUGGAAUAUAAUGGUUUAGAAAUACAUAGGAGAUGUAAAUUUUAAGUUGUGUAAGUUGUUUAGCAAUAAAAUAUUGGAUAUAUUGAAAGAUUGAACAAAAAAUGUUGGCAUAUAAAUGCUGGAAUUUCUUUUGUGAUAGCUGAAGGUUGAGUUGGAAUCUCAGCUUGGUUUUGAAAUUUUUCUUUGAAACAUAAUGGUUGGAAAUGCCUGAAAUAUGUUGUUUUAGAGUUCUAUAAGAAAUGUAUGGAUGGUUUGAAUAAAAAUCUUAUGGUGUUAAAUGAGAAAAAGGAGUUUUUCACAAGUGAAAAAUGAGUCUUCAGAUUUUCGGAUUUCACUGACCAGUCUCAGUAAAAUACUUAUAUCUUGGUGUAGGAAAAUCCGUUUAAGGUGCCGUCAGUGGCAUUUGAAACUAGAAUCAUGGGCCUUUGUUCUGUAGAAAUUUCAUAUUUUUCCUCCAUGUGUACUGCUGUCCGUGACUCCUCAAAGUAGGCUGUCCUGCUUAAAUGUCCUGUUUCUUCAUGAAACUGAAUUUUGACUUGAAUCGAACAUUUAGCUUAAUUGUGAUUUGAAUUCCUGAUUGAAUUAUGGUUGGAAGUGAUUGAUGGUUGUCAAGGGCUAAUGAUUGAUGAAGCCCUUGGCCAUUUGAAUGAUUUUAUAAAUAUUAAAGGAUGAUGAACUUUAAUUGCUGGAAUUUCUUGGAGGCGUUACCUUCAUUUUGUUUUAGUUAAGAUGUGAUAUGAGAUUGCCAAAAUCAAGUGCUAAUGAUUGACGAAACCUUGGUCAUUCGUUUUAUUCUUGAUCAGAAUUGAAUCUGUUGAAACCUAGGGCUAAUGAUUGACGAAACUCUAGUGAAAUUUCUAUUUGAAAUGUGAGUUGGUCAUAUUGACAAAUAUGAAAUAUUAUGUGCUUGUAAAUCGGAAUCGUAAGGAAUUUAUUUUGGUCCUGUGAACUUGAGAAGUUUUUAAGCAAGCUAUUUAAAUAUAUCUUCACUCUAAUAUGGUACGAUAGAACUUAGCACUGAAGGUUAAAGUUAGAAAUUUCGUGUAGGAAUUUUCUAAACCUUGCCAACUCGAAAUUUUCCUUCAACUCGAACUAACCUUAAUAGUUAUAGAAAAUAAUUUCUCUAACUUUUGAAAACCCUAAGUCUUAUUUUAAUUUCUUUUCUUUCUUUAAAAUUUGCCCUUGGAUAGUUGUCGGUAGGAAAGGUUCCAAAAUAAGAAUUUUAAUAACUUUAAUUAAAAAUGAAAAAACUUGCUCGACAAGAAACUUUAUUUUAGGUAAAAUAGUUUUAGUGAUAAUUUUUGCAAGAACCGUAGCUUUAAAGAAAUUUUCAAGAUAUCUUUCUAACUUUGAUGUUAAGAGGUUUGUCGACUUAUUUCAAGAAAAUAAUACUAGUUACCCUUUUAUAAGGAAAAAUAUCUCAAGGAAAACUAUAAGAAAUAUUUCUACUACUUUUGUCAAGUUUCAACCUAAGUAGAUUCUUGAAUUUACUAUGAGAAAGUAAACUAGUAAUAUAUUAGAUAAAUCUUGAUGUGUAUAAGCUUAAAAACUGAAUAGAAACUUAUAGUUUCAAAAUUUGGUAUUCUAGGAUAUUGCGAGGACGCGGAAUUCGAUUCCCAAUUUGACAUCUGAACUUCACUCUUGGUGAGUGUCCCUGCUUGUUCUAUGCUUACUUGGUUAAAGUGCUUUCUUGACUCAAUAUGUGAUAAUUUGCAAACUAGUUUUUGAUUCAUCGAAGUGAGCAGUGUGUACUUUAUCGCACUAGCCGUUCGAGUGGUGACUUGCGUGAAUCAUUUUCUCAUGAAUCUAAACGCAGUAACGUCGUUGGGUGAAUCUCUCGACGUAUGAAUCUGACUGCAAUCACGUUGUUGGGUGAAUCACUCGACGCAUGAAUCUAACUACAAUAACGUCGUUGGGUGAAUCUCUCGACCAAUCAUCUACGGGUAUAUCUCGAGUAUACUGCGUCCUUAGUCGGUGUUCGGGCCCGGGACAGGGGUAUGAACGGUGACGGGUUAGGAGUAAAAAUGAGUGGAUCUACAUGGACUAUAAGUAGUGAGAGUUGACGGAGGGUCAACUACGAUGAAUGGUGAUUAAGCGAGGAAAAUGGCUCCUGAGAACCCCUGUAUCCUACCUUGUGCUGUUAUACGCUUUCCUAACUGUUCAAUUUGGUUAAGUUAUUACUCGCUGUUUGAUUUACAUGAUUGCAUGUUUUGGGGCACUACUGAGCGUUAGCUCACCCCACGUUUAUUUGUUUUCCUUAACAGGCUCUGGAAGUUGAAAGCUUUGAAACUUACUCAUGUUUUCCUUUUGGAAUGUAUUUGAAUACUAAGACUUACUCAUGGAGUCGCCACAUAGUAUACUAUAAUUUUACUAAUUCAACUCAACUUCUCAUUUUUAUCUAAUUUCACAAACAAGCAACUCCUAUAGUCAAUAAAGAUGCUAACUAAUCUCAUGAUCAACUUCUUAUUUUUCUUAAAAGGGCUUUAUUUUCUUUUUCUUCUUCUUUUUUUUUAUAUGUCUUUUAAGAGUUAAAUACUACUUAAGUUGUGAAAAAAUGCCUUUUGACGCAAAAAUUGAUAUUUUUAGAUGAAGAUCACCAGUUACUCAACAUUUCACAUACUCAAGUUACUGUUCAUACUUCUAAUUCAAGUACCGUUUUACGCGAGAGUCGACAUUUGUAGAUGAAAACUCCCGAUUACUAAGUACAAGAACCAUUGGAGUAGAAUAUUUUUUUUGAUAUAUAUAUAAAGAAAUAAUAAAAUUCCUUCUAAGAAUAAUCAUGAGAAAAGCAUGACACUUAUUGACCAUAUUAAUUUCUUAACUUAUAAAAUCAGAUAAAAAGAAGAAUUUUCAUCAAAUAUGCAAAAUGUAAGCAUAAUUUUCUUCACUUACUAGAUAUACUUUCCUAUAGAUGUAAAAAUUAUAAUUACAUAAUAGUCAUUUCCAAAUGAAAUUAGAAAAGAAGUUUCAAAAUCGCAUAUAUUUAUUUCAAAAGGAUAAGUGAUAAAAUUUUAUUUAUUUAUUAGGAUUAUUGUAUAUAUAUGUAUAAGGUUUUGAAAAAAUUUUGACAGAGUUUCCCCUUAAAAGUGGACUAAACUCCCUGCCAGCAACCACAAGAGACAAAUUUGAAGCACAAGAAAAUAACCAACAUCAAACACAACUAAAAUCACAAGUACCACACAUAUUUCUUUCCUAUACUUAAAAUACACAUAGUCCUCAAUGUGUAGGGAAGGAAAGAAAAGAAAAGAAAAGAAAGAAAUACUUCCCAAGGCAAUGGCUGAGAUCCUUAUCAGCCAUUAAUCACGAACCAUUGUCAAAAUACAAGUACCUACCAAAUAAAAAAAUAAAAUGAAGUUAAACAACUUAAGUUCCACAAGUUAAGAUAAUCAGGCAAGCAAAUCCAGCAACAAAAGAUAGCAUAUGCAGUGUGCCAAGUCAGUCAUCUCUCUCGGUAUCAUCGUCAUCCUCUGCAUCACGAGGGCGGUGGAUGAAUGCCCAAAUGAUCUUCAAUUCGGCUUAGACGAUUCCUAAUGUCAGCAAACUGGUAUGCAAAGUCGUCCAUAUGGUCAAAAAGUCACUGCCAAUUAGUUUGUGACGGAGGAGGUGGUGGUGCUGCAGUAGAUGGCCCAGCUUCAUCGCGAUCAUGUCUAGCCUUCUGUCUCCGCUCUUGAAUAGAGCGUGGAACAUCCCCCGUGCCAAUACCAAGCCGGUGGAGAGUAGUGAUAAAUAAUUUAGUUCUGGGUGGAAUAUACUCCCGCCGUAUGCCUUCCAAGCGAAGCUUAAAAUGCGGGAAGAUCAAGGUAAGUAGACGAGGAAAUGAUAAUUUGAAAUAAGUUGUUUUGCGCCUCGUCGUGGACCGAAUGUGGCUAAUGAUGAUGUUAGGUAGUGAAAUGCGAGCAUAUGGAGAUGUCCAAUUUUGGAAUAUGUAAUCCAAGUAGAUAUCACUCAUGCGAACCUCCGUGUGCCCUGUCUUCUUAGAAAUUACAUUGUGAGCCAUCAUAUAGAUGAUAAGACAAUGACGAGGUUCAAAGACAUUUGCCACUAUGGUCUCCUUCCUUGUAGAGCGAAAAGGUUGGUACUCGAGACCAAACCUAGCCAUGGCCAACGAGGGAUCCCACUUCCUAUUCGGGGGAAUAAACUCUUUCUUCAAAUCUAUUGGACGCCCGUCAUCCAUACACCCCAAAAUAGCGGUUAAAUCUUGACGUGACAAGACGAUUCGUCUUUCACGCAUUCAGGAUUCAACCAUUUCUCCACUAUGGCGCGCCUUACUCUCAAUGUUGACGUAAAAUUCUCGCACCAAGUCGGGGUAGUAAUGAUUUGGUAGGGUAUGUAUCGGCUCGAUCUCACGAGAAUCAAAUUAAACAAGUACUAGGCCUUUAUUUUUCUCUAUUAUUUAGACUUACAAUAAAUUUGAGUAAGAAAAUUAUUAUGUUGUUAUUGUCUACAAAUCUGGUUUAAUCAAUGUUAAAUGUAAAUGGAGAAAUUUCACUAAAGAUUGAAUUUAGGGAUGUAAAUUCCACUUAUGGCGUAAAUAACACAAAUGAAUAGAUUUGUCUCUUGUUAUUUUUUUUGUUUAAUCAGGGAUUCAUUUCCAAUAUUACCAAAUCUCAUUCUCAUGAUGAAAUGGCCUAGAGUAAUAUAGUUUUCCCUAUUUUCAUGGUGAAAUACUAGUUUUACUCUAUUUUUCUUCAUGAAAUGCUGGAAAAUCCACUUAAGUGUACAUCUAUUUUCAUGAACAUACAACUCAAACUCAUGUUUUUUCAUUGUUACUAUCAAUUCUCAUUGACUAAUAACAACUAUGAAUAUGUUAUUGGUGAUCAAACAACAACAAGUAAUUACAACUGCACAAAUAGACAAGUUAAUACAAGAUAUAACAAGUGUAAAUUACAUUCAAUUCAUAUUAUUUAGUCAUAAGUUUCAUCUACUCCCUAAAUAAAAAAAAUUAGCUACUCAUGAAUGAAAUAAAAAUCAAACUCAUAAGUUUAUUAAUGCAAAAUAUCAUAAAAUACAAUUACAAGAAAAAUAUAAGAAAGCUUAGCCAAUUAAUGGUGAAACCCUCAAAUUUCUGCUAUGUUCUUGUACAAGAUGAUUACAAGAUAAGUUUUCAAUUACUUCCUUAAGAACUUCUAGCUAGAGAGAAAAUGUUACCAGAUGAAAAACUCCCUACGUAUGGUGUCCAGACCUCUCCCAAUGUCUCUGUAUAAGAACUGCUCAAGAGCUCCAUUUUUCCAAGUCAAAUUUCACAUUUUGAUUCCCAAAUCUCAACUUUGUUAGGAUAGUUAAUAACCAAUGUUUUUUACUUGAAAAUAAGCUACAUUUCUUGCCCUUUUGUCUUCUGAAGCAUGUGCACAGAAUUUCCUUGCAACUUAUGGCUGGAAAGUAGUAUGAAUACAAGAGAAAUGGCUGAGUAAAUUGCAGCUUUUCGGCUACAAAACGCGACUGCACAAAAUGCAGCAUAAACUCGCGUUUUGUCAACUCGCGUUUUCAACUUGGCCUUGCUUCAACUGCGAUUUUUUCUAUGAUGAAGGUCGAACUAGCUUUUGUACAAAACACAAAAGUUGUAGCCUUUUAAAUUAGCUUUACAAUGCUUCAAGAAUAAUCUAAAUCGGAGUUUUGUAGCCUGAGAUAUGGUUGAAAUACUAUCAUCUUGUCAAAUCCCUAUUUCAAUUUUCGACCACAGAAUGCAGCUUCUGUAUUUCGACUUUUUGUCCAUGAAAACAGCAGAAUUGGAUUUCGAUGUCUUCAUAACAAUUGUAGGUCUCUUUCUUAGUUUUAAAAUGGUAUAAAGAUCACCUCAAUCGGAUAAGUGUAGCUCCAGAUAUGGUCAAAAUACCGAAAAGUUUCAAAACUGUCUUGAAUUGCAUUUCCUCACUUUGAAUGUUUUUCAUUUCAUUUCUCUUUUAACCACUUGAAUUCAUCACCAAUUAUCUAUUUUCACCUCACUUGACAUCCUUUGGUGAUUGAAUCAUUAAACCUGCAUAAAAAUGAAGUUUUUAUCACUAAAAUUAAUAGAAAUGCAAUAAUAGCCACUUUUACCAAACAAUGUAUAUUUUUACCAAAACCUAUUUAUUUUAUUUAUAAGACUAAAUAAUCAAACCAAAAUCAACUAAUAAAAUGCACUUAAAAAUACGUAAAAUAAACUCUUAUCAAAUACCCCCACACUUGAAUCAUUACUUGUUCUGAAGCAAUUAAAAACACUAACCAACAAUGAUUCCAAGUUUGAAAAUAAACAUACGUUGCAUUUCAACUUCAUUUCCUUGAAUCAAGAUAAAUAACGCUUAUGUGAUCCCUCAAUUAAUUUCAAGUACUCGUAGUAUCAAACAAAAAAGAGUCAAGUAUACCAUAAUUUUACUAAUUCAACUCAACAUCUUAUUUUUAUCCAAUUUCACAAGCAAGCAACUCCUAUAGUCGAUAAAGAUACUAACUAAUCUCAUGAUCAACUUUUUAUUUUUCUUAAAGAGGGCUUUAUUUUCUUUUUUUUUUCUUUUUCUUCUUCUCUUUUUUUUAUAUAUAUCUUUUAAGAGUUAAAUACUACUUAAGUUGUGAAAAAAAUGCCUUUUGAUGUAAAGAUUGACAUUUUUAGAUGAAGAUCAUCAGUUACUCAACAUUUUAUAUACUCAAGUUGCUGUUCAUACUUUUAAUUCAAGUACCGUUUUACGCGAGAGUCGACAUUUGUAGAUGAAAACUCUUGGUUACUAAGUACAAGAACCAUUGGAGUAGAAUAUUAUAUAUAUAUAUAUAUAAAGAAAUAAUAAAAUUCCCUUUAAGAAUAAUCAUGAGAAAAGUAUGACACUUAUUGACCAUAUUAAUUUCUUAACUUAUAAAAUCAGAUAAAAAGAAGAAUUUUCAUCAAAUAUGCAAAAUGUAGGCAUAAUUUUCUCCACUUACUAGAUAUACUUUCCAAUAGAUGUAAAAAUUAUAAUAACAUAAUAGUCAUUUCCAAAUUAAAUGAAAAAAAAAGUUUCAAAACCACAUAUAUUUAUUUCAAAAGGAUAAGUGACAAAAUUUUAUUUAUUUUUUAGGAUUAUUAUAUAUAUAUAUGUAUAUGUAUAAGAUUUUGGAAAAAUUUUGACAGAGUUUUCCUUAAAAGUGGACUAAAAUCCCUGCCAGCAACCACAAGAAACAAAUUUGAAGCACAAGAAAUAUAACCAACAUCAAAUACAACUAAAACCACAAGUAUCACAUAUAUUUCUCCCCUACACUUAAAAUAUACAUUGUCCUCAAUGUGUAGGGAAGGAAAGAAAAGAAAAGAAAAGAAAGAAAUACUUUCCAAGGCAAUGACUGAGAUCCUUAUCAGCCAUUAAUCAUGAAUCACUACCAAAAUACAAGUACCUACCAAAUAGAAAACAGAAAAAUAAAAUGAAGUUAAACAACUUAAGUUGCACAAGUUAAGACAAUCAGGCAAGCAAAUCCAGCAACAAAAGAUAGCAUCUGCAGUGCGCCAAGUCAGUCAUCUCCCUCGGCAUCAUCGUCAUCCUCUGCAUCACGAGGGCGGUGGAUGAAUGCCCAAAUGAUCUUCAGUUCGGCUUAGACGAUUCCUAAUGUCUGCAAACUGGUAUGCAAAGUCGUCCAUAUGGUUAAAAAGUCACUGCCAAUUAGUUUGUGACGGAGGAGGUGGUGGUGCUGCAGUAGAUGGCCCAUCUUCAUCGCGACCAUGUCUAGCCUUCUGUCUCCGCUAUUGAACAGAGCGUGGAACAUCCCCCGUGCCAAUACCAAGCCGGUGGAGAGUAGUGAUACAUAAUUUAGCUCUGGGUGGAACAUACUCCCACCGUAUGCCUUCCAAGCGAAGCUUAAAACGCGGGAAGAUCAAGGUAAGUAGACGAGGAAAUGAUAAUUUGAAAGAAUUUGUCUUACGCCUCGUCGUGGACCGAAUGUGGCUAAUGAUGAUGUUAGGCAGUGAAAUGCGAGCAUGUGGAGAUGUCCGAUUAUGGAACAUGUAAUCCAAGAAGUAGAUAUCACUCUUGCGAACCUCCGUGUGCCCUGUCUUCUUAGAAAUUAUAUUGUGAGCCAUCAUAUAGAUGAUAAGACGAUGACGAGGUUCAAAGACAUUUGCCACUAUGGUCUCCUUCCUUGUAGAGCGAAAAAGUUGGUACUCGAGACCAAACCUAGCCAUGGCCAACGAGGGAUCUCACUUCCUAUUUGGGGGAAUAAACUUUUUCUUCAAAUCUACUGGACGCCCGUCAUCUAUACAUCCCAAAAUAGCGGUUAAAUCUUGACGUGACAAGACGAUUCGUCUUCCACGCAUUCAGGAUUCAACCAUUUCUCCACUAUGGCGCGCCUUACUUUCAAUGUUGACGUAAAAUUCUCGCACCAAGUCGGGGUAGUAAUGGUUUCAUAGGGUGAAAAUCGAAGCCCAUCCAAGCUGAGUAAAAGCUUCCGAGAUGUUGUAUAUCAUCUCAACUGGUGGACUCACGUGCAUCUCAAACAAAAACUCCAAAUUAGCAUGCUCCUCAUGCCAUUCUUGAUUCCUGUGAUUGUUGAACCUAGCACUGUCAAAUACCGAUUUUCCCGAUGCACGAGAGGUGCCCUCACCAGGUUGUCGGCUAACUGGUGGAGGAGAAGGUGACGCUUCCUCCUCAGUCACAUCCAUUUCUUCAUUCACCUCUCUCUCAUCAUUACUAGAGGAUGAAGGUAUCACUCUUCUUCCCCUUGGCAUAGUACUUAAAAAAAAUUUUCAAUUAAUCACAUGUAUUACAACUCAUAAUUUGUCAACAAAAAUCUAGAAUUAAUCUCAAAUACAUUUCCUCAAGUUAUAAUCAUUCAAUGAUCAUACAAAAAUAGACAUAUUUUCUGCUUAAAAUUGUCCAAAAUCACCAACUUAAACAAGAUAUGUAUCAAUUAUAAUUCAAUCAAUGAAAAUAGCAUCAAUCAUGAUUAUAGCAAUAUUUAAUUAAUAAUAAUAAUGUGCAAUUAGCUAUAACCAUGAUUAGGCAAAAAUUAAACUAAUUAACUCACAAAAUCAACCAAAUUACUCACUAUACACAAUGCACAUGCUAAAACAUCAUCAACUAACCAUUAUUAACCAUAAUCAUUGAUAACCAAUGGCUUAAAAACAUUUUAAUCCAACUUCCUAAUUUUAGUUCAAAUAUAGCAAUUAAAAAAAAUAAAAACUAUUAAUAAUCAAGUAGCUAUAUUUGAACAUGUAAUCAUGUAUAAAUAACCUUAAUAAGCAUCAAUGAAGUCAAAAACAUCAUCAUUUAUCAUCAAAAAUUCGAGAUUAUAGGAAAUGCAAUUCAAGACAGUUUUGACACUUUUCGGUAUUUCGAUUAUAUCUGGAGCUACACUUUUCGGAUUGAGAUGAUCUUCAUAUCAUUUUACAGUUAAGAAAGAGACCUACAAUUGUUAUGAAGACAUAGAAAUCCAAUUCUGCUGUUUUCAUGGACAAAAAGUCGGAAUAUAGAAGCUUCAUUCUGUGGUCGAAAAUCGAAAUAGGGGUUUGAUCAGGUGAUAGCAUUUCGACCAUAUCUCAGGCUAUCAAACUCCGAUUUGGAUGAUUCUUGAAGCAUUGUAAAGCUAACUCAAAGGGCUACAACUUUUGUGUUUUGCUCAAAAGCUAGUUCGGCUUUCAUCAUAGAAAAAGUUGACAAAACGUGAGUUUAUGCCGCGUUUUGUAGCGGAAAAGCUGCAAUUUGCUCAGCUAUUUCUCUUGUAUUCAUACUACUUUCCAGCUAUAAGUUGCAAGGAAAUUCGGUGCACAUGCUUCAGAAGACAAAAGGGCAAGAAAUGUGGCUUAUUUUCAAAUAAAAAACAUUGGUUAUUGACUAUCCUAACAAAGUUGAGAUUUGAGAAUCAAAAGGUGAAAUUUGACUUGGAAAAAUGGAGAUCUUGAGCAGUUUUUAUGCAGAGACAUUGGGAGAGGUCUGUACACCAUACAUAGGGAGUUUUUCAUCUGGUAACAUUUUCUCUCUAGCUAGAAGUUCUUGAGGAAGCAAUUGGAGACUCAUCUUGUACAAGAACAUAGCAGAAAUUUGAGGGAUUCACCAUUAAUUGGCUAAACUUUCUCUAAUCUUUCUUGUAAUUGUACUUUAUGAUGUUUUGCAUUAAUAAACUUGUGAGUUUGAAUUUUAUUUCAUUCAUGUGUAGCUAAUUUUCUUUAUCUAGGGAGUAGAUGAAAUUUAUGCCUAAAUAAUAUGAAUUGAAUGUGAUUUAGACUUGUUAUAUCUUUAUUAACUUGUCUAUUUGUGCAGUUGUAAUUACUCGUCGUUGUUUGAUCACCAAUAACAUGUUCAUAAUUGUUAUUAGUCAAUGAGAAUUGAUGGUAACAAUGGUAAAACAUGAGUAGAGUUUGAGUUGUAUGUUUAUGAAAAUAGAUAUACAUUUAAGUGGAUUUUUCAACAUUCCAUGAAGGAAAACAGGGUAGAACUAGUAUUUCAUCAUAAAAAUAGGGAAAACUAUAUUGCUCUAAACCAUUUCAUCAUGAGAAUGAGAUUUGGUAAUAUUGGAAAUGAAUCCCUGGUUAAACAAGAAAAAUAACAAGAGGUAAAUCUAUUCAUUUGUGUUGUUUAUGCCAUAAGUGGAAUCUACAUCCCUAAAUUCAAUCUUUAGUGAAAUUUCUCCAUUUGCAUUUAACAUUGAUUAAACCAGAUUCGUAGACAAUAGCAGCAUUAUAAUUUUCUUGCUCAGAUUUAUUGUAAAUCUAAAUAAUAGAGAAAAAUAAGGGCCUAGUACUUGUUUAAUUUGCUUCUCGUGGGAUCGACCCGAUACAUACCCUACAUUACGAUUUUGGCCCGUACACUUGCAGUCAACGGGUAUAAAAUUGGAUUUAAACUUGCAUUGAUAUAAAAAUUCCGUCAAGUUUUUUGGCGCCGUUAUAGAGGAUGACGAUGAUGCUGAGGGGGAUGAUUGACUUGGCGCACUGCAGAUGCUAUCUUUUGUUGCUGGAUUUGCUUGCCUGAUUGUCUUAACUUGUGGAAAUUAAGUUGUUUAAGUUCAUUUUAUUUUUCUGUUUUGUAUUUGGUAGGUACUUGUAUUUUGGCAGUGAUUCGUGAUUAAUGGCUGAUAAAGAUCUCAACCAUUGUUUUAGGAAGUAUUUCUUUCUUUUCUUUUGUUUUCUUUCCUUCUCUACACAUUGACGACAAUGUGUAUUUUAAGUGUAGGGGAGAAAUAUGUGUGGUAGUUGUGAUUUUCGUUGUGUUUGAUGUUGGUUAUAUUUCUUGUGUUUCAAAUUUAUUUCUUGUGGUUGCUGGCAGGAUUUUAGUCCACUUUUAAGGGAGAUUCUGUCAAAAUUUUUUCAAGACCUUAUACAUGUAUAUAUAAUAAUUCUAAUAAAUAAAUAAAAUUUUGUCACUUAUCCUUUUGAAAUAAAUAUAUGUGGUUUUGAAACUUCUUUUCUCAUUUAAUUUGGAAAUGACUAUUAUGUAAUUAUAAUUUUUACAUCUAUAGGAAAGUAUAUCUGGUAAGUGGAGAAAAUUAUGCCUACAUUUUGCAUAUUCGAUGAAAAUUCUUCUUUUUAUCUGAUUUUAUAAGUUGAGAAAUUAAUAUGGUCAAAAGUGUCAUACUUUUCUCAUGAUUAUUCUUAGAGGAAAUUUUAUUAUUUCUUUAUGUAUAUAUCAAAAAAAAAUAUUCUACUCCAAUGGUUCUUGUACUUAGUAAUCGGGAGUCUUCAUCUGCAAAUGUCGACUCUCGCGUAAAACGAUUCUUAAAUUAAAAGUAUGAACAGCAACUUGAGUAUGUGAAAUGUUGAGUAAUCGGUGAUUUUCAUCUAAAAAUAUCGAUUUUCGCGUCAAAAGGCAUUUUUUUUCACAACUUAAGUAGUAUUUAACUCUUAAAAGACAUAUAUAAAAGAAAAAGAGAAGAAGAAAAAGAAAAAAAAAGAGAAAAUAAAGCCCUCUUUAAGAAAAAUAAGAAGUUGAUCAUGAGAUUAGUUAGCAUCUUUAUUGACUAUAGGAGUUGCUUGGCUGUGAAAUUAGAUAAAAAUGAGAAGUUGAGUUGAAUUAGUAAAAUUAUGGUAUACUUGGGUAUUCUUUGUUUGAUACUAUGAGUACUUGAAGCUAAUUGAAAGAUCAUAUAAGGGUUAUUUACCUUGAUUCAAGGAAAUGAAGUUGAAAUAUUAUGUAUGUUUAUUUUCAAUCUUGGAAUCAUUGUUGGUUAGUGUUUUUAAUUGCUUGAGGAUAAGCAAUCAUUCAAUUGUGGGGGUAUUUGAUAAGAGUUUAUUUUACGUAUUUUUAAGCGCAUUUUAUUAGUUGAUUUUGGUUUUAUUAUUUAGUUUAUAACUUAAAUAAAUAGGUUUUGGUAAAAAUAUACAUUGUUUGGUAAAAGUGGCCAUUAUUACAUUUCUAUUGAUUUUAGUGAUAAAAACUUCAUUUUUAUGCAGGUUUAGUGAUUCAAUCACCAAAGGAUGUCAAGUGAGGUGAAAAAUAGAUAAUUGGUUAUGAAUUCAAGUGGUUAAAAGAGAAAUGAAGUGAAAAACGUUUAAAGUGAGGAAAUGAAAUUCAAGACAGUUUUGACACUUUUCGGUAUUUCGACUAUAUCUGGAGCUACACUUAUCGGAUUGAGGUGAUCUUUAUACCAUUUUAAAGCUAAGAAAGAUACUACAAUUGUUAUGAAGAUAUCGAAAUCGAAUUCUGCUGUUUUCAUGGAAAAAAAAAGUUGGAAUACAGAAGCUACAAUCUGUGGUCGAAAAUCGAAACAGGGAUUUGACCAACUGAUAGUAUUUUGACCAUAUCUCAGGCUACAAAACUCCGAUUUGGGUUAUUCUUGAAACAUUGUAAAGCUAAAUCAAAGGGUUACAACUUUUGUAUUUUGCGCAAAAGUUAGUUCGACCUUCAUCAUAGAGAAAAUCGCAGUUGAACCAAGGCCAAGUUGAAAACGCGAGUUUAUGCCACGUUUUUUGUAGUCGCGUUUUGUAGCCAAAAAGCUGCAAUUUGCUCAGUCAUUUCUCUUGUAUUUAUACUACUUUCCAACCAUAAGUUGCAAGGGAAUUCGAUCCACAUGCUUCGGAAGACAAAAGGGUAACAACGGUGGCUUAUUUUCAAGUAAAAAACAUUGGUUAUUGACAAUACUAACAAAGUUGAGAUUUGGAAAUCAAAAGGUGGAAUUUGACUUGAAAAAAUGGAACUCUUGAGCAGUUUUUAUACAGAGACAUUGGCAGAGGUCUGGACACUCUACAUAGGGAGUUUUUCAUUUGGUAAUGUUUUCUCUCUAGCUAGAAAUUCUUGAGGAAGCAAUUGGAGACUUAUCUUGUAAUUAUCUUGUACAAGAACAUAGCAGAAAUUUGAGAGCUUCACCAUUAAUUGACUAAGCUUUCUUUUAUCUUUCUUGUAAUUGUACUUUAUGAUGUUUUGCAUUAAUAAACUUGUGAAUUUGAUUUUCAUUUCAUUCAUGAGUAGUUAAUUUUCUUUAUUUAGGGAGUAGAUGAAACUUAUGGCUAAAUAAUAUGAAUUGAAUGUGAUUUACACUUGUUAUAUCUUGUAUUAACUUGUUUAUUUGUGUGGUUGUAAUUACUUGUCGUUGUUUGAUCACCAAUAACAUGUUCAUAGUUGUUAUUAGUCGAUGAGAAUUGAUAGUAAUAAUGGAAAAACAUGAUUAGAGCUUGAGUUGUAUGUUCAUGAAAAUAAAUGUACACUUAAGUGGAUUUUCCAGCAUUUCAUGAAGGAAAACAGAGUUGAACUAGUAUUUCACCACGAAAAUGGGGAAAACUAUUUUGCUCUAGGCCAUUUCAUCAUGAGAAUGAGAUUUGGUAAUAUUGGAAAUGAAUCCCUGAUUAAACAAGAAAAAUAACAAGAGGUAAAUCUAUUCAUUUGUGUUGUUUAUGUCAUAAGUGGAAUCUACAUCCCUAGAUUCAAUCUUUAAUGAAAUUUCUCCAUUUGCAUUUAAAAUUGAUUAAACCAAAUUUGUAGAUAAUAGCAACAUUAUAAUUUUUUUGCUCAGAUUUAUUGUAAGUCUAAAUAAUAGAAAAAAAUAAGAGCCUAGUAUUUGUUUAAUUUGCUUCUCGUGGUAUCGACCCGAUACAUAUUCUAAAUUACGAUUUUGGCUUCUACACUUGUAGUCAACGGGUAUAAAAUCGGAUUUAAACUUGCAUUGAUAUAAAAAUUCCGUCAAGUUUUUGGCGCCGUUGUAGAGGAUGACGAUGAUGCCGAGGGUGAUGACUGAAUUGGCGCAUUGCAGAUGCUAUCUUUUGUUGCUGGAUUUGCUUGCCUGAUUGUCUUAACUUGUGAAAUUUAAGUUGUUUAACUUCAUUUUAUUUUUCAGCUUUGUAUUUGGUAGGUACUUAUAUUUUGGCAGUGGUUCGUGAUUAAUGGCUGAUAAGGAUCUCAGCCAUUGCCUUGGGAAGUAUUUCUUUCUUUUUUUUUCUUUUCUUUCCUUCGCUACACAUUGAGGACAAUGUGUAUUUUAAGUAUAGGGGAGAAAUAUGUGUGGUAAUUGUGGUUUUAGUUGUGUUUGAUGUUGGUUAUAUUUCUUAUUGUAAGGCCCAAAGACAACCUAAGAGGGGGGGUGAAUUAGGUUGAUUAAAAUCUUAAUCAAAUUUAUGCACUUUUUCUUUAAUAAAAAUUUACUUUCUUUUCUAGUAAUGAUCAACCAAGUAGAUUAGAAGAAGAGAGCAAUGUUGAUUAGAAAAACAAGUAUAGAUAAGCAAUGAGAAUUUUAUUAAACAAAAAGAAUAAGAUAGAAUAUCAAACCGAUUGUCUACCAAGCUUUUCUCAAACUUGAAGACCAAUCACUAGGUUGAGCAACUUCACUUUGAUGAAAGAUGAUCAACUAGAUGUACAAUGGAGGGAGCACUUCCUCCUUGCCCUAAGCCUCACUUGUUCAAGCUAAGAAGUUUUACAAUCACUCAGAUAACCCUCAACAAAGCUACACUAAUGAAACUUUCAACCAUAAGAGAAAUGCUCACAAGAAAUUCACACCACUUGGAGAACAAAUCUAGCUUUGAAGACUAUUUUUUAGCUAAAAUAUCUCUUGAGAUCUUGUAAACAAAGUGUGCAAAAGUCUCGGACGUCCGACGCGGUUGAUGUGAGUCCGAGGCGUGCGUCCGAUCCUUCCGGACGUCCAACGCUUCCUUAUGAGCGUGCGACAGAGCUUCCUUAUGAGUUUUUAUCGUCCGACAGAAUCUGUCGGACGUCCAACAUGAGUGUCCUAUUUUUUAUUCUUCUUUUGGUUGAUUUUCAUUUCUUGACAUAUUCGUACCUGAUUCUUUGAUAGGCAAAAAAUACUUACAUUUGAAGAGAGUUAGAUAAGCAUUUCAAAGUACUUUGUGAUCAUCAAAACCAAGAAUAACAUUCUCCCCCUUUUUGAUGAUGACAAAACACUGAUUUGAAAUGAAAUUUGAUGAUUGCAAUAUAAGCACCCCCUUUCUCAAUUGACAAAAUCUCCCCCUUACUUAUUGGAUCAUUGAGCAAAAGUUUGAAAAACUCCCCCUUACUUAUUGGAUCAUAGAACAAAAAUUUGAAAAACUCCCCCUUACUUGGCUACCCAACCGAAUUAAUCAAUUAUCCAAAAACGUAACAAUUAAGCAGCCAACAUCCAACAUUUUACCAAUUCAAUCCAUCAGCCAAUUCAAUUUCAAUUAAAUCAUCAAUCAAUCCAAUCCAGUCCUCUCCCCCUUUUUGUCAUCACAAAAGGCCAAUCAAUCACAUAUAUCACGGAGAAUCAAUAACAAAAACAUUCAUCACAUCCACACAUUCAUCAUUCAAAAUACUUAAACAUCCAUCCACAUAUUCAUAACCAUUACAGCCAUAAUUAUCCAUCAAAAAGUACUAAACGAUCACAACAUAAACAUAAGUAUUACAUUUACAUAUCCAUUGUUGAACACCACAACUACUAGAAACACAUGAAAUAGACAAACAAAAUGCAAAUGACCCUAUGUGAUCCUAAAUGGUGAACUAGGUGGAUCCAAGUGUCCUUUGAGAGAGCUGAUAUUGGGAGAGGUCCUCCUCUUCAGUUUCUUCAUCAUCUUCAGCAACUUCUUCAACUGGUGCCUUGCCUUUAUCUGAUGUGGAAGGGCCAUGAGGAGUCACGGGAGUUGAUGAGCUCGGGUCUGGAAUUGAUGAAUUUGGAUCAGUGGGGCGUGGCUCUUUGCUAUGGGAAACUUCCUCAACCACAGGUGGGGGAAAAAGAAGGUUCUUUUUGUCUAGGUAGGCUGUUUGUUGCUCAGAGGACAUGGUGAGCAUUAGACCACGUUCCAGAAGAAGAACAUGUUGUUUGAGUUCUCGAAGGAGCUCAAUCACUUCAUCAUUGGAGGAGGAAGAUGUCUUAGUGGCAGACUUCCUAGGAUGAAUGGGAGUGAGUGCAACAGAUGAAGGAUUGUGUAGUGGAUCAUGUGCAGCCUUAGACCUAGGUUCACUAGAUGAUGCCCCCUUAUAAGCCCAUAGAUUAUCCUUAAAGACAAGAUUUUUCCUUUCAAAAUAUUCUUUGGUAAAGGCAUAAGAAGAUGCUUCUUUGGGACAAACACCUAGAAUUGGUACUUUGUAAAACUCAAAAAUCUUUUGAAAAAUUUUUUCAUAAGAUAAUUUUCUGCGAGAAUCAGUGGCAUAGCGAAGUAAAAACUUGCACAUGACAAAACCAAAAUCAAUACGAAUUUUUUCUCGAAAACAGUAAAAGAGAUACAACUCCAUUUUGUUUGCAUCUGUUCUAUGGCCAUCAGUAGGCACAAGCAGGUUUGAAAUGACUGAGAAGGCAAUUAGAUUCACAGGGGCAAGAUCAUUCAGUUUAGCAUCAGCAGGGGAAGAAAAACUUCUUUUGAAAUAAGUCAACAUCUUAGCCCCAUCAAAAUGAUUAUCAGCAGUAGGGUGCUCUUCAUAGAAAAAGAAAUUUAUAAUUUUACUCUUGCAUCCACGUUCAAUGGUAGUAUUUAAGAUGGCAUUCACAGUUUCAGGAUCAAAUACUAAGUCUACCCCAUUUACUCUGGACAUAAUUUCAGUGUGAUCAGUGCCUUUCCUAAGAUUAGCAAAGAAUUGAUACAGCAUUUCAGGGUAAUAAACAUUGGGCAUAGAAAUGAGAUGUGACCAUUUCUGGAAAGCAAACAGACUCAGAAUGGAUUCUAAGCCUAUUUGGCGAAAUUCAGAAGAAUUUACAGUGCGUUGAGGGAUGACACCUUUCUGGGAUAUCCAGGAGUGUUUGUCUUUUGCAGCAUCAUCAAAGAAUGUAGGGACUGUGGUUGAUUUUGGAGGCGGUUGAGAUGAGAUUCCCUGUCCAGAUUCAGGCUGAGGGGUGGGUUGUGGUGUAGGCUGUGACAUUUGACCCUUUACAGCUCCCCUCUUGACGCGUUUGGAUGAUCGUUUGACCGUAGGAACAUCAUCAUUCUCAUCCCUGAGUGGAUGCUUGCGUCCGGCAGUGACCUUCCCUCCUCUUAGAUUCACCAUUGUGCGAAAUGUGUGGAAUGAAGGAUGCAAAUGAUACACACAGUAGUAUGGAAGUGAAUCACACAGAAAUUUUGGGACAAAAAGGCCUUGAGGAAGAUUGGACAGAGCGGUUAUGAGAAAAUAGGGUUUUGAGGGAAAUUUGGGAAUUUGCGAAAUGUUAUGCGAUUCGGUGAAAUGAUCAGGAGAAACGAAUCGCAAUCGAUCAGGAAAAGUUUUGGUUGAGUCAAUUUGGGAAUGAGAGCUUCAGAACGGUAUGAAUUUGAGAGUGAGAGACGAGAGAGUUUUCGUCCGAGAGGAUGUGAGAACCCGUAAAUCCCUAAUAAUUUUCUUAGGAUUUUUCCCAUUUAAAGGCAUAAAUUUUGUAUUUUCUGGCUUAGGAAAUUUUUCCUGGUGAAUUUUAUGAGUAAUUAUAGUUUUUAGAUGAUUUUUCUAGUAUUGGAGAGUUUUUGAAAAAUUAAGAGUAUAUAAUGGACGUGGGACCCACUAGUGCGAAAAGUUCGGAAAAAUUCGGCGAAUUAGGUUAAAUUCCGGAUACUGUGUGAAAUUUAUCGGGUGUUAAGAGAUAAGUAGAGGAUGUGAAGUGAUUGAUGUGAGAGAAAAAAGAAAAGAUAAGAUUGCAUUAAUGGAGUGACAAGUGUCACCAUUUUAUUGGAUAUGAUUUGGUGACAACUAUUCAUGGUUUUUGACUUUUGACCAAAUUGGUUAAAUAUCUUGAAAAUUACCUCAAAAAUCACCAUUUAUUACUCCUUGAUGGCCGGCCCUCUCUUGAGCAAAGAAGAAAGAAACUCUUCAACAUUUUAGCUUCCAUUUAGCUCAAUCUUCCAAAACCAAUCAUAUAAACUAGUUUCUACUCCAUAAAAUCCCUUCCUUUGGUGCUAGUGAGUGAUUUGGUGAAGUUUUUGGAGAAGCUAAGGUGUUCUACAACUCCUCUUCUCUUGUUUACUAGGUAAGUGGUGCUUGAACUUUUCCCUACACCUAAUGAUGCUUAAUUUGUGCCUAGUGGAAGCUAAAGUGAUGAUAUUUGUGGUUUAUUUCUUGGUUGAGAUGAAUUGGUGAAGUUUUCAAUUUACUGGAGAUUUUUUCUGGUUUAAUGUGAUCAUGAUAUUGUGGUUAUUUAUGAUGGUUGGUAAUGAGGGGUAAUGACUCUAGUAGGUGUGAAUUAUUGAUAAUUGCAACCAAUUUUGGGUUUGGAUUGAAAUGUGAAAAGUUAGGGUUUCAUAACCCCCUUUUCUGUCCGGUUUUGUAUCUCAUGUUUAGAGGCCGAAUUGGCCUUGGCUUAAAACAUAAAAGUUGUAGGUAUUGAUGUGUUUGAGGUGCCUGUAAAAUUUCAGGUCAUUUGGAGUAGUGUAGACUGAGAUAUGUCGAUUUUACUGUUGCUAUUCUGGGUUGAUCAGAAUGUGUGAACUGCGCUUGUAAUCGUCUGUUUUGACUGGAAUUGCUUUGGAUUUGGAUGUUGGUGUCUUCUGAUGAAAUGUAUCUGGAUGUCUUGGCUACCACAUGCCUUUGGAAUCAAUGCAUUUGGACCUGUAUAGACUGAGUUGGACUAAUUACAGCAUAGUGUGAUUUGUAAACCUGCAAUUACGGUUUUGGUUUGGUAUUCUGCAUUUUUGACCUAGUUGUGCUAGGAUUUGGACUGAGUGGCCUUCUACAUUGUUGUAGCCCUGUCUUUUAGCUUCGAGAUGGUGGGUCUUACACCCUGAUCCGAUAAGCGUAGCGCAUUUUGUGCCAUUACCGCAUAAGGAGGCCAAAACUGUUUUGUUGUUAGGGCUAAUAUAGUUACAUUUCCUGAUUUUCUGGUUUGCUACCAUGCUUAUAUAUGCAUAUGAAACCCUAUUGGGGUUGUGAUUGGCAUGGCUUUAUGACUCGUUAUCGAGUCUCAUGGUAUUUGUUUACGUGUUCUAGGGCGUGACGUUAGUGCACGACGUAUUUUGGACGGCGGUGCAUGAAACCUCACCUACGUGAGUGGUGAGUAUACUACUCACUUGGAUGUUUAUAAUGUGGCUUUGCUAUAUGUGAUUGUGAUGCCUUAAAGGCUUGUUUGGCUAUUGGAAAUGAUUAGGGUGAGGGUGUACUUGACCGCACUCAUUCCUUUUAUUCCUGUGAAUGACUGUUUACCGUUUCACUGUAUUACUGUACUUGCUAUAUGAGUUAUUGGAUUCCAUUCAUGGGAUAUUGUUUGGGUGUCGGUUGGACGAGUAUCCAACGGCCCUACUGUAUUACUGAGCUCGACCCCGUUGGUAGUCACUUGAAUCGAGCCAGCGAGGGCUUGGUCGUGAAAAUUGACUAGCCACGGGGACUGAAAUGGGAAUCUUAUGGUAAUGAGACCCUUGGUUCCGGUGUACUCGAGUAUCACCUAAAGUUACUGCUUGGAGUGCGGGCCCGGUUGGGGUAUGUUGGGUGGAAGGAAUGAAGUAAAAUGAGGUCUACGGUUUGGUACUUUUAACAUUGACGGAGGGUCAAUGAGGUUGGAUCAAGAAUAUAAGCGAGGAAAUGGGCUCUUGAGAGCCGUCCGUAUCCUUUCACUGAUUUGAUUUACUUCUUAAUUGCAUACUUGAACUGAACGGUUAUGCUUAUGUGAUCUUAGUUGCUAUUGUGGUAGUAACUCACUGAGCUUUAGCUCACUCCGUUCCAUUUGUUUUUCUUACAGGAAAAUGAUCACUUUUGGGGAAAAGUUCAUACUUGUCGGUUGCCAAAUUGAGCUUUUGUAUAUGUAUCUUUUGAAUAGCUUUUGAAUGAAACCCUAAUGUGUAUUGGGUUCACUUUCUUUUGGAUUGGCAAACCGAAUAUGUAUAUUCAUGAUGAAUGGUUGUUGUGGCAUGCCAUUUGGUUGUAAAUGUUAGAUUUCAGUGUAUAUAUGUUGGAUUGAUGUUUGGUUGAACUCCGGAUUCUGACGUGUCCGGCACUGUUCAUUAUCGGCGCGUUUUUUCGUUUUUUUUCAUUUUGUGAUUUUGACUUGUUUGCACGCGUUGGUUUGUUCCGGAACUUAUUAGAUCGACGUAACUGAUCCGUUAGUCCUGGCGAGAGCUGGGCAGGCAGUCCGCUAACCCUUUUGGUUCGCCUUAGGGAAAGGUGCGGCUGUCACAGGUGGUAUCAAAGCCUAGGUUUGAAUUAGCCUGGGUGUUAUAGGACUGCUUGAUUUGAGAAUUUGUUUUUUAUGGCCGUAAGCUUAUAUUUAUGGUUAAUUGUUCUUGUGGUGUUGGAUGGCCGGACAGUGUGACCCUAGUGCUAGUCCUUCGGGAGUGAGACCUCGCAGAGCACUCCCCGUGAUCCCAUAUCAGAUACGGCCAGGAGGGGCCGUUAUUCGUUGGAUUCCGUCUAACCGUCUUCGACGGUGCGCGUGUAAAGAAAAGUAUGCCUAUCCGAACGCUCUCGUGUUUGCUCUGGACAAGGAGCGUAAGGUGUUGGCUAGAGAGAAUGCUCGACUUGAGGUCGAGGCGAUCCAAGAUAGGGCGACCAACGAGAAGCAACCUGCACGUAUUAAAGAGCUAGAAUACGACGUGCUCGAGGUCGAGGACAGAGUUGAUGACCUAUGCAACCAACUGAGGGAGGCACGAGAGCGCGAUCUCAAGCGAGCUCGUAAAGUCAGGGGUCGCGCUGAGGCGAUCCUUAACCUAUGUGAUGACGGGCUCGAGGAGGAUAGUGAUGAGGCCUCGUGUGCGGGGGCCGAGGUUGGGGAGGAGUCUACCCCUUCGCCUGGGUCCCAGACCCCGGCAACUGACUAGGCCUUGACUUCUAGGCUUCUUUUGGGAUAGUUUGGUGGUUUUGUAUGUACAUAGGGAUAGGGAUAGAGCCUUAGCUAAUCGUUUUGGUUGUUGGAUUAGCUAUGUGUAAAUCUCUUUUGAUAGGCGAAUCCUCGGGGGGAUCGUUUAUGUUUGUACGUGCCUUGGCCGUACUUGACUCGACUGAUUGUAUAUAUGUGUGUGGCUUGAUCUUGCUUGGCUUGUAUAUAUGUUUGUGAUCAUGUUUGCAAUGUAUAAAUAUGUGUUAUUGUGAAAGUUUUGCGUAUUACUUACAUGCCUUGUUACUACUUUGGUUUAGUACUCUUGCCUAGACCAAGUAAAACUUAUGGAAGGUACUCGGAGUGGUCGGGGACGUGGACGCGGAACUAGACAACCCACACCGGUUAGGGGUACGGGGGAAACCUCGACUGGACCCGAUCUUGAACCACAAGCCUACCCUAAUGUGCAAAUAGCUGCUGCUAUGCAGCAAAUGACAAACCUGCUAGCACAAGUAGUGCAGCAACAAGCCCAGAACCCAAACCCUAAUCCUGGAAACCCUGGCUAUCAUAUCGAGAGCGAAGAUAGAGCUCUCGAACGUUUUCAAAAGUUUGCUCCACCGAAGUUUGUUGGGGGACCCGACCCGGACGUUGCUGAGAGGUGGCUUGAAAAGAUGGUUGACAUAUUUGCAGCCCUACACUACCCUGAUGAACGGCAGGUGACUUUUACCGUAUUUCAACUUGAGGGGGCGGCCCGUUCCUGGUGGAACGUGAUCCGACAGAAAUGGGAACGGGAGCAGACGCCCAGGACUUGGGUGAACUUUAUUCGAGAGUUUAAUGCGAAGUUCUUCCCUCCUCUAGUCCAGGAGAGGAAGGAGGACGAGUUUAUUAGGCUCCGCCAAGGGGCUCAAACUGUGGCGGAAUAUGAGAGUCAAUUCACCCGCCUGUCCAAGUUUGCGCCUGAGUUAAUCAUGACUGAACAACGACGGAUUCGGCGCUUUAUUCAGGGUUUGAAUGUUGAAAUUCAGAAAGACCUCGCGGCGGCUCAAAUCACUGCGUUUAGCGAGGCUGUAGAAAAGGCCCAACGAGUUGAAAGUGCACGGUUGCAGGUCCGGAACUUCCAGGCGAAGAAGAGUGGCUUUCCUGGGAGUAGUUCUGGACAGGGUGAGAAGAGCACUCCCUCUAAAUUUGGACGCGGAACGGGAGGUGGUCGACAAUCUGGUGCAGGUAGAGGGACUCCAUUUAGGGGUGGCCAAGUUGGGCGAGAACCGAGGGGAAACGCUCAGAGUGGCUCGGCUUCAGCACCUCGCGGUUCCUGCGGGCAUUGCGGGAAGUCAAACCACAACGAAGAUAACUGCUGGAGGAAACAGGGUAAAUGUCUGCGAUAUGGAAGCGCCGACCACCAAUUGGCCACUUGCCCAGUUCUGAAACAAGAUGGAAAGGGAAGCUAACCACUGCCGAGGACCAAUGCUGGACCAGCCAAGGGAGAUGGGUCCAAACCUAAAGUGCCAGCUAGGGUGUACUCUAUAGAGCCCCAUCAGGUCCCAGAGUCUUUGGAGGUCGUAGAAGGUACGAUCCCUAUUUUCCACCACUUCGCCAAAGUUUUAAUUGAUCCUGGUGCCACUCAUUCGUUUGUUAACCCUGAUUUCAUGUGUGGCAUCGAUAUAAAACCUGCUAGUUUACCAUAUGACCUAAAAGUUAGUACACCUACGGGGAAUCAACGUUUGGUGACUAGUAUGGUUUAUAGGGAUUGUGAUGUAUGAGUAGGUGAAAGGAGAUUUUUAGGAGACCUGAUUAGCUUGUCCAUUAAGGGGUACGAUGUGAUUUUGGGUAUGGACUAGCUAGCCAAAUAUAACGCCCAACUGGAUUGUAAAACAAAAGUAGUAGAAUUUCGCAUUCCUGGCGAGGCAACCUUAAGGUUGGAUAUAAAGGGUAGAUUAGCCUCAUCUGCUUUAAUUUCGGGCAUUCGAGCUAGGAAACUGAUAAGUAGAAGGGCGCAAGAAUUUUUGGCCUUUUUGAUUAACACCCCUACGGAUAAGUUAAAAGUGGAAGACGUGGCCGUGGUAAGGGAAUUUCCCGAUGUAUUCCCUGAUGAGUUAGUAGCCUUACCGCCGGAAAGGGAGAUAGAAUUCCGAAUAGAUCUGUUACCUGGAACCUCACCUAUCUCAAAAACUCCUUACCGAAUGGCGCCUGCAGAACUUAAGGAGCUUAAGCUGCAAUUACAAGACCUUUUGGAGCGGGGAUUCAUUCAUGAGAGUGGGUCUCCUUGGGGAGCUCCUGUCCUAUUUGUGAAGAAAAAGGACGGAACCUUGAGGAUGUGUAUUGACUACCGGGGCUUGAACAACGUUACGAUCAAGAAUAAAUAUCCACUGCCCCACAUUGACGAGUUGUUUGACCAGCUGCAAGGAGCAGUGGUCUUCUCAAAGUUGGACCUCCGACAAGGAUAUUACCAGUUGUUAAUUAGGAAGGAGGACAUUCCGAAAACUGCUUUCAACUCAAGAUACGGGCAUUACGAGUUCGCCGUGAUGCCCUUUGGACUGACCAAUGCUCCCGCCGCCUUUAUGGACCUAAUGCAUAGGAUUUUUAAACCCUAUCUAGACCGAUUUGUUGUUGUGUUCAUCGAUGACAUUUUGGUCUACUCUAAGACACGCGAGGAGCAUGAGGAGCAUUUAAGGGUGGUGUUGCAGGCUCUACGAGAACAUCAACUGUAUGCCAAGUUUAGUAAAUGCGAGUUCUGGUUGGAGAAAGUAGCAUUCCUAGGGCACGUAAUCUCCCACGAAGGCAUUUCGGUGGAUCCGGCGAAGGUAGAGGCUGUGACAAACUGGAAGAGGCCAAAAAAUCUCACGGAAAUUCGCAGCUUUCUAGGGCUAGCUGGGUACUACCGAAGGUUCAUUAAAGAUUUCUCCAAAUUAGCAGGACCUUUAACUGACCUGACAAAGAAGCAUGGUCGAUUUAUCUGGAACGCCCGUUGCGAAACAAGUUUUCAGGAACUAAAGAGAAGAUUGACCAUGGCUCCAGUGCUGGUUUUGCCAAAUGGAGUGGACGGGUUUGCGGUGUAUGCCGACGCGUCGCGAGAAGGAUUGGGGUGCGUAUUGAUGCAGAACCGGAAUGUGAUUUCUUUCGCCUCUAGGAAAUUAAAGAUUCACGAGCAGAACUACCCGACUCACGAUCUGGAACUAGCCGCAGUUGUCUUUGCACUGAAAAAGUGGAGGCAUUACCUAUAUGGGGUGACCUUCGAAGUGUAUUCGGAUCACAAAAGUCUUAGGUACCUCUUCUCCCAGAAGGAAUUGAACAUGAGGCAACGAUGGUGGAUGGAAUUUUUGGAAGACUACGACUGCACAAUCAACUACCAUCCGGGAAAGGCAAAUGUGGUAGCUGAUGCCUUGAGUCGUAAGGUGCAAGUAGUAGGGUUGAUGAUUAAGGAGUGGGAUUUAUUAGAAUCCGUAUACGAGUGGAGACCCUGUCUUGGGAGUCAUAAGGUGAUAUUUAGCAAUGUUAGGGUAACCUACACUCUGCUGGAACGUAUUAAAGAGGCGCAAAGCGAAGAUUUGAUGGUACGGAAGUGGGGAGAGAAAGUGGAAAAGGGAGAAACAACGGACUUCAAUUUUAGUCCUGAGGGCAUUUUGAAGUAUCGACACCGAAUAGUGGUACCAAAGGAUGAGUCGUUGAAAGCAGAGAUUCUGGAGGAAGCUCAUCGGUCUAAGUAUACAAUCCAUCCGGGCAGCAGCAAGAUGUAUCAGGACCUGAAAGGAACCUAUUGGUGGGACAAUAUGAAGAGGGAAAUCGCUCAGUACGUGCAGAAAUGUCUUAUUUGCCAACAAGUGAAAGCAGAGCAUCAAAAACCAUCGGGUCUGUUACAACCCUUGGAGAUACCCGAAUGGAAGUGGGAAAACAUCACAAUGGACUUCGUUUCAGGUUUACCGAGGACGCAAAGAGGACAUGAUGCCGUUUGGGUGAUCGUGGAUCGAUUAACCAAAUCGGCUCAUUUCUUGCCGGUGAACAUGAAGUAUUCAAUGGACAAGUUGGCUCGACUGUACAUGGACGAGAUAGUAAGACUACACGGUGUUCCUGUGAGCAUCGUCUCCGAUCGGGAUCCACGGUUUGUAUCUCGGUUUUGGCAGAAGUUUCAAGAAACCCUGGGGACGAAACUCAAUUUGAGCACGACCUAUCACCCUCAGACGGAUGGACAGUCGGAGCGGACAAUUCAAACUCUCGAGGACAUGCUACGAACUUGCAUUCUGGAUUUUGGUGGCAACUGGGGUCAACAUAUGACCUUGGUAGAGUUUGCGUACAACAACAGCUUCCAUUCGUCGAUCCAAAUGGCUCCAUAUGAAGUUCUAUAUGGACGAAAGUGUCGGUCGCCGAUUUACUGGGACGAAGUUGGCGAAAAGAAAGCACUAGACCCAGCAACUAUUCCAUGGAUGGAAGAGGCUCAAGAGAAGGUCAAGUUGAUACGGCAACGAAUCCAAACAGCUCAAAGCCGACAAAAGAGCUACGCAGAUAAUCGAAGAAAAGACUUGGAGUUUGAAGUUGGGGAUCACGUAUUUCUUAAGAUCACACCCUUACGAAGUAUCACAGCGGGCAAAGGAAAGAAACUUCAACCGCGGUACGUCGGACCCUACAAGAUCCUUCAGAGGGUGGGAGCGGUCGCGUAUCGAUUGGAACUGCCAUCCAGUCUCUCUCGAAUCCACGAUGUGUUUCACGUUUCGAUGUUAAAGAAAUAUCAUCCCGACCCAUCCCAUGUCUUACAACCGGAGGAGAUUGAAGUAGACGAAUCACUUGCCUAUCAAGAGAAACCGGUCCAAGUGCUCGAUCGGAAAGUCAAGGAGCUCAGAAACAAGCGGAUUCCGCUAGUGAAAGUGCUAUGGAGGAACCAUGGGGUAGAGGAAGCUACCUGGGAAGUGGAAGAGGAAAUGCGAAAGAAGUAUCCAAACCUUUUCGGGAAUUAAGGUGAGAAACUUCGAGGACGAAAUUCUUUUAAGGGGGAGAGAGUGUGAGAACCCGUAAAUCCCUAAUAAUUUUCUUAGGAUUUUUCCCAUUUAAAGGCAUAAUUUUUGUAUUUUCUGGCUUAGGAAAUUUUUCCUGGUGAAUUUUAUGAGUAAUUAUAGUUUUUAGAUGAUUUUUCUAGUAUUGGAGAGUUUUUGAAAAAUUAAGAGUAUAUAAUGGACGUGGGACCCACUAGUGCGAAAAGUUCGGAAAAAUUCGGCCAAUUAGGUUAAAUUCCGGAUACUGUGUGAAAUUUAUCGGGUGUUAAGAGAUAAGUAGAGGAUGUGAAGUGAUUGAUGUGAGAGAAAAAAGAAAAGAUAAGAUUGCAUUAAUGGAGUGACAAGUGUCACCAUUUUAUUGGAUAUGACUUGGUGACAACUAUUCAUGAUUUUUGACUUUUGACCAAAUUGGUUAAAUAUCUUGAAAAUUACCUCAAAAAUCACCAUUUAUUACUCCUUGAUGGCCGGCCCUCUCUUGAGCAAAGAAGAAAGAAACUCUUCAACAUUUUAGCUUCCAUUUAGCUCAAUCUUCCAAAACCAAUCACAUAAACUAGUUUCUACUCCAUAAAAUCCCUUCCUUUGGUGCUAGUGAGUGAUUUGGUGAAGUUUUUGGAGAAGCUAAGGUGUUCUACAACUCCUCUUCUCUUGUUUACUAGGUAAGUGGUGCUUGAACUUUUCCCUACACCUAAUGAUGCUUAAUUUGUGCCUAGUGGAAGCUAAAGUGAUGAUAUUUGUGGUUUAUUUCUUGGUUGAGAUGAAUUGGUGAAGUUUUCAAUUUACUGGAGAUUUUUUCUGGUUUAAUGUGAUCAUGAUGUUGUGGUUAUUUAUGAUGGUUGGUAAUGAGGGGUAAUGACUCUAGUAGGUGUGAAUUAUUGAUAAUUGCAACCAAUUUUGGGUUUGGAUUGAAAUGUGAAAAGUUAGGGUUUCAUAACCCCCUUUUCUGUCCGGUUUUGUAUCUCAUGCUUAGAGGCCGAAUUGGCCUUGGCUUAAAACAUAAAAGUUGUAGGUAUUGAUGUGUUUGAGGUGCCUGUAAAAUUUCAGGUCAUUUGGAGUAGUGUAGAGUGAGAUAUGUCGAUUUUACUGUUGCUGUUCUGGGUUGAUCAGAAUGUGUGAACUGCGCUUGUAAUCGUCUGUUUUGACUGGAAUUGCUUUGGAUUUGGAUGUUGGUGUCUUCUGAUGAAAUUUAGCUGGAUGUCUUGGCUACCGCAUGCCUUUGGAAUCAAUGCAUUUGGACCUGUAUAGACUGAGUUGGACUAAUUACAGCAUAGCGUGAUUUGUAAACCUGCAAUUACGGUUUUGGUUUGGUAUUCUGCAUUUUUGACCUAGUUGUGCUAGGAUUUGGACUGAGUGGCCUUCUACAUUGUUGUAGCCCUGUCUUUUAGCUUCGAGAUGGUGGGUCUUACACCCUCAUCCGAUAAGCGUAGCGCAUUUUGUGCCAUUACCGCAUAAGGAGGCCAAAACUGUUUUGUUGUUAGGGCUAAUAUAGUUACAUUUCCUGAUUUUCUGGUUUGCUACCAUGCUUAUAUAUGCAUAUGAAACCCUAUUGGGGUUGUGAUUGGCAUGGCUUUUUGACUCGUUAUCGAGUCUCAUGGUAUUUGUUUACGUGUUCUAGGGCGUGACGUUAGUGCACGACGUAUUUUGGACGGCGGUGCAUGAAACCUCACCUACGUGAGUGGUGAGUAUACUACUCACUUGGAUGUUUAUAAUGUGGCUUUGCUAUAUGUGAUUGUGAUGCCUUAAAGGCUUGUUUGGCUAUUGGAAAUGAUUAGGGUGAGGGUGUACUUGACCGCCCUCAUUCCUUUUAUUCCUGUGAAUGACUGUUUACCGUUUCACUGUAUUACUGUACUUGCUAUAUGAGUUAUUGGAUUCCAUUCAUGGGAUAUUAUUGGGUGUCGGUUGGACGAGUAUCCAACGGCCCUACUGUAUUACUGAGCUCGACCCCGUUGGUAGUCACUUGAAUCGAGCCAGCGAGGGCUUGGUCGUGAAAAUUGACUAGCCACGGGGACUGAAAUGGGAAUCUUAUGGUAAUGAGACCCUUGGUUCCGGUGUACUCGAGUAUCACCUAAAGUUACUGCUUGGAGUGCGGGCCCGGUUGGGGUAUGUUGGGUGGAAGGAAUGAAGUAAAAUGAGGUCUACGGUUUGGUACUUUUAACAUUGACGGAGGGUCAAUGAGGUUGGAUCAAGAAUAUAAGCGAGGAAAUGGGCUCUUGAGAGCCGUCCGUAUCCUUUCACUGAUUUGAUUUACUUCUUAAUUGCAUACUUGAACUGAACGGUUAUGCUUAUGUGAUCUUAGUUGCUAUUGUGGUAGAAACUCACUGAGUUUUAGCUCACUCCGUUCCAUUUGUUUUCCUUACAGGAAAAUGAUUACUUUUGGGGAAAAGUUCAUACUUGUCGGUUGCCAAAUUGAGCUUUUGUAUAUGUAUCUUUUGAAUAGCUUUUGAAUGAAACCCUAAUGUGUAUUGGGUUCACUUUCUUUUGGAUUGGCAAACCGAAUAUGUAUAUUCAUGAUGAAUGGUUGUUGUGGCAUGCCAUUUGGUUGUAAAUGUUAGAUUUCAGUGUAUAUAUGUUGGAUUGAUGUUUGGUUGAACUCCGGAUUCUGACGUGUCCGGCACUGUUCAUUAUCGGCGCGUUUUUUCGUUUUUUUUCAUUUUGUGAUUUUGACUUGUUUGCACGCGUUGGUUUGUUCCGGAACUUAUUAGAUCGACGUAAUUGAUCCGUUAGUCCUGACGAGAGCUGGGCAGGCCGUCCGCUAACCCUUUUGGUUCGCCUUAGAGGAAGGUGGGGCUGUCACAGAGGAAAUAGAAGAACAAGAGUUUGAAGCAAAUGAGGAAGAAAAGUUACUUUAAAAAGUGAACCGUUGCACUGUCGGACGGCCGAACGAAGUCGUGCGUCCAACAGUUUCGUCCGAACAGGUGCAUUCUGGGAAAAUAGCUGAAGAACAUCAUCGGACAUCCGUUCAUCUUCUUUCGGACGUCCGAAGGCUAUGAAAAAUUUUAAGAUGAUUUUUCGAUUAUUCCUAAUUUUGAUCUUAGAUGAAUGAACUGAUCUAAUGGCAAAGGUUUUGUAAAAAUAUCAGCAAAUUGAUCUUUAGAACAAACAUAAUUUACACAAAUUUCACCUUUUUGAACAAGAUUACGAAUAAAGUGGUGCUUUAUAUCUAUAUGUUUUAUCCUAGAAUGCUGAAUAGGAUUUUUGGUCAAAUUUAUAGCACUAGUAUUAUCACAGAAUAUAGGCAUGCAGUCAUAUAACAAUCCAAAAUCAUUCAAGGUAUGCUUCAUCCAUAAAAGUUGAGCACAACAUGCACUAGCGGCAAUAUAUUCCGCUUCGAUUGUAGACAAAGAGAUUGCAUUUUGUUUUUUGGUAAACCAAGAAACUAAGGAAUUACCAAGAAAGUGACAAGUUCCACUAGUACUUUUUCUGUCCACACGACAACCACCAAAAUUCGCAUCCGAAUAUCCAUAUAGAGCAAAUUCACAAGAUCUAGCAUACCAAAGACCAUAGUCUAAUGUACCUUUCAAAUACCUAAAAAUUCUUUUAACAGCAUUUAAAUGUGAUUCUUUUGGACAAGAUUGAAAUCUAGCACACAAGCAAAUAGCAAACAUAAUAUUGGGUCUACUUGCGGUUAAAUAGAGUAGGCUUCCGAUCAUACCUCUAUAGUGCUUUUCAUCCACAUGAUUACCUUCUUCAUCUUUGUCAAGUUUUGUAGAAGUGCACAUUGGAGUUCCAACUUGCUUUGAGUCCUCCAUGCCAAACAUUUUCAGCAAUUCCUUGGUAUAUUUUGCUUGAUUUAUAAAAAUUCCCUCAAGUGCUUGAUGUAUUUGAAGCCCAAGGAAAAAAUUUAAUUCUCCCAUCAUACUCAUUUCAAAUUCACUUUGCAUAGUGGUGGAAAAAUCCUUGCAUAGAUACUCAUUAGUAGCACCAAAAAUAAUAUCAUCUACAUAUAUUUGCACAAUAAGAAGAUCAUUUAACACUUGUUUAGUAAAAAGUGUGGUGUCCAGAAUACCUCUUUUGAAACCAUUUUCAAUCAAGAAACCACUUAAUCUUUCAUACCAAGCUCUUGGACCCUGUUUUAAACCAUAUAAUGCUUUAGAUAGUUUAAACACAUGACUUGAAAAUUUUGUAUUUUCAAAAUCGGGGGGUUGAUCCACAUAUACUUCUUGAUCAAUAAAACCAUUUAAAAAGGCACUUUUAACAUCCAUUUGAAACAAUUUGAAACCUUUGAAGCAAGCAAAAGCAAGAAACAUUCUAAUAGAUUCUAAUCUAGCUACGGGAGUAAAUGUUUCAUCAAAAUCAAUUCCUUCUUCUUGUGCAUAUCCUUUAGCAACUAAUCUGGCUUUAUUUCUUACAACAACACCUUUAUCAUCCAACUUAUUUAUAAAUAUCCACUUCAUGCCAAUGAUAGGUUGAUUUUGAGGUCUAUCAACAAGUGUCCAAACCUUAUUUCUCUCAAAUUGAUUAACUUCCUCUUGCAUUGCCAAAAUCCAGUUUUCAUUCUUUAAAGCAUCAUUGAUAGUUUUGGGUUCAAAAAGAGAAACUAAAGCAAAAUUGUCUAUCAAUUUUCUAGAUGAGGAACGAGUCUUUACCUUCUAGGAUGGAUCACUAAUUAUAAGAUCUCUUGGAUGAUUUUGGCUAAAUUUCCAAGCAUUGGGAAGGUCUUUGAAUGAAUCAUCAUUCUUGUCUUCAUCUUCCUUUUCUUGAUCAUCAUGAGCUUCAUCCACCAUUUCCUUUGAUGCUGGUUUAGAGUUUCCUUCAUCUCCAAUUGUUAGCUUUUCCAUUCCUUCAUGAACACCUACAUCAUCAUCCUCACACGAACUUUUGGAAUUAUCAUCAUUAGUUUCAUCAAAUGUUAUGUGUAUAACUUCUUCUAUCACAAGAGUCCUUCUAUUAAAGACUCUAUAUCCUUUUUUGUUCUCACAAUAUCCCAAAAAUAUUCCUUCAUCAGAUUUUUUCUCAAACUUACCAAGAUGUUCCUUUAAAUUUAAAAUAAAACAUUUACAACCAAAGACUUUGAAAUAUCCAACCGUAGGUUUCUUAUCAAAAAUCAGUUCAUAAGAUGUUUUAUUCAAAAUGGGUCUCAAAAGGAUUCUAUUCAUCACAUAACAUGCAGUGUUUACCGCUUCAGCCCAAAGGUAUUUUGGCAAACUACAUUCACUUAACAUAGUUCUAACAGCCUCUUGUAGUGUCAUAUUUUUCCUUUCUACAACACCAUUUUGUUGUGGAGUUCUUGCAAUAGAAAACUCAUGUGUUAUGCCAUUAUGAUCACAAAAUUCUGGAAAACCACAAUACUUGAAUUCCGUUCCAUUAUCACUUCUAAUCCUAACAAUUUUUAAACUAAGCAGAUUUUGCACUUUAGCAAACAAUGAAGUGAAAUUCUUGAAGGCAUCAUCCUUAUGAGCAAGAAAUAUCACCCCAAGUAUAUCUAAAAUAAUCAUCCACAAUCACAAAGCAGUAUUUCUUACCUCCCAAGCUAGUGAUUUGAGUAGGACCAAAUAAGUCAAGAUGCAAGAGUUCUAAAGGUUUAGAAGUUGAUACACACAUCUUUGGUUUAAAAGAAACUUUUGUUUGCUUUCCAAAUUGACAUGCAUCACAAAUUUUAUCCUUUUCAAAACACAUUUUUGGCAAGCCUCUAACCAGUUCCUUUUUCGAAAUUUCCUUUAGUAAAUCCAUGUUAAAAUGACAAAGUCUCCUAUGCCACAAUCAAGGAUCUUCAUUUGAAGCUAGAUGAAUCAAUUUUAUCAAGAACCACAAUAUAUAUGUCGUUAAACCUCUUACUUUUGAACACAACAUUAUAUUUGGAAUCAAGCACAAUGCAUUCAUGCUUUUUAAACAACACAUUCAAGUCUUUAUCACACAAUUGACUAACACUAAGCAAGUUAUAACCUAAGUUAUCAACUAAGAGUACAUUAUGAACAAAAGUUUCACCAUCCUUACCAACAUCACCUAUUCCAAUUGUCUUAGCUUUCACAUCAUCACCGAAUGUCACCUUUCCACUUGAUUUUGAUUUUAGUUUUAUGAACAAAGAGGGAUCACCGGUCAUAUGCCUUGAGCAGCCACUAUCAAUAAACCAUUUAGACUUGUUUGAGCCUUUUCCUGAAAAGAGAAAGUGUUUGGUACCCUUUUUAAUUUUUGGGUCCACAAUAGUUAGCAUUGUGUCUAACUAACCACAUGUAUCUCAUCCCUUUGUUCAGAUUUCUUUUUACAUAGCAAUCUCCUUUCAAAUGCCCUUUUUGACAACAAAAACCACACAUAAUGGAAGAAUCCUUAACAUGUAAUAGUUUGACAUAUCUAAAUCCACUUCUUCUAUAUGUUGUGAAACCAUGUGCAUUUUUGUUGUGUGCUAAUGUUUUUUGAUGAGCAGUAAGAAAGGUAGAUGACAUGUUCUUUUUGAGAAAAUCUUGCUUUCUUGCUUUUAAAGUCUCAUCCAAGUUGUCCAUUCUUUUCUUCAAAUCACCAUGUCUUUCCUUCAGCAUUUCACAAAUACUUGUCUUUCUAUCAAUCUCAUUUUGAACAUCAACUCCGGCUCUUACAAGACAUUCAUUGUCAGUCCUUAGUUGUUUAUAUUGUUGAAGAAGACUUGCAUUUACAUGAAUGAGAAAAGCAAUUUUCUGUUUUAGUUGCUUGUUUUUAUCAUAAGAUUCCUUCAAGGCAUUAUGUAGUUUUUCAACAAAGGAUUCAAGAUCAUCAUCUUCUUCAUCAUCACUUUCAGAUUGAGAGUGUAUGGAAGUUACCUCAUUAUCUCCAAUAGCCAUGAAGGCCAUUUGAGCUGAUUCUUCCUCUUCUUCAACUUCCCCUUCGGAGUUGCAUUCAUUCCAAGUAAUCUGGAAGUUGUUGAAUCUUGGCUUUCGAUCAGCUUUCCCAUCUUUCAUUUUCUUCAUGGGGCAUUCGUUUGCAUAGUGUCCAGGCUGUCCACAUUCAUAGCAUUUGUCCACUUGCUUCUUGUUGAAUUCUUGUUUUCCUUUGUUCCUUGCAUUUGAUGAAUAAUUUUGAAAUUGAUUGCUAGGUCCUCCCCUUCUAAACUUCCUUUUAUUCAAGAUUCUCUUGAAGCCUCUUGUGAUGAGAGCAAGAUCAUUAUCAUCACCAUCCGAGUCUUCAUCAUCCAAGUGAGCUGGAUCAUCUUCACCUUGAGUAGUCUUUAGAGCAAUGUUUCUCUUUGCUCUAACAUCCUCUUCCUCCUGCACUUUAGAUUUCAAUUUCAACUCAUAAGAGGUUAGUGAGUUAAUGAGAGAUUCAAUAGGCACAGAAUUUAAAUCCUUAGCCUCUUCUAUUGCAGUCACUUUAUUUUCCCAUUUUUUGCCUAAUGCAUUGAGAAUUUUCCUGUUCUUCUCUCCCAAGGUGUACUCUUUGCCCAACACCUCGAGAUCUUUGAUCAAAUCAUUGAACCUGCAAUACAUUUUGUCAAUAUCCUCAAGAGGUUCAAUUUUAAAUGAUUCAUACUUUGUGACCAAGAUAGUUUUUUUCUGUUCUCUCACGUUGUCACCACCCUCAUGGAUUUCUCUUAGCUUAUCCCACAUUUCUUUGGCCGAUUUACAGCCUUUUACUCUAAUUGAUUCAUUUGAAUCUAAGGCACUAUAAAGAACAUUCAUGGCUUUGACAUUCAAUGUGAGAUUAGUCCUAUCUUGAGCAUUCAUUUCAGCUCUCGUUUUUGGCCGAUGCAAACCUGUAUCUGCAUCAAGAAAGUUAGCUUCAUGCGGUCCUUCACUCACAGUAAAUCAUAGCUCAAUAUCAAUAGAUUGCAAAAAAAUAAUCAUCCUUUCUUUCCAGCUAACAUAAUUGGAGCCACUAAACAUGGGAGGCCUAGUAACAGAUUGCCCCUCAACAAACAUAGCAUGACUGGUUGUCAUCUUUACUCCAAGCAGCUUGAGCUUAAUCUCUAGGAGACCAAGCUCUGAUACCAAUUGUAAGGCCCAAAGACAACCUAAGAGGGGGGGUGAAUUAGGUUGAUUAAAAUUUUAAUCAAAUUUAUGCACUUUUUCUUUAAUAAAAAUUUACCUUCUUUUCUAAUAAUGAUCAACGAAGUAGAUUAGAAGAAGAGAGCAAUGUUGAUUAGAAAAAUAAGUAUAGAUAAGCAAUGAGAAUUUUAUUAAACAAAAAAAAUAAGAUAGAAUAUCAAACCGAUUGUCUACCAAGCUUUCCUCAAACUUGAAGACCAAUCACUAGGUUGAGCAACUUCACUUUGAUGAAAGAUGAUCAACUAGAUGUACAAUGGAGGGAGCACUUCCUCCUUGCCCUAAGCCUCACUUAGUCAAACUAAGAAGUUUUACAAUCUCUCAGAUAACCCUCAACAAAGCUAUAUUAAUGAAACUUUCAACCACAAGAGAAAUGCUCACAAGAAAUUCACACCACUUGGAGAACAAAUCUAGCUUUGGAGACUAUUUUCUAGCUAAAAUAUCUCUUGAGAUCUUGUAAACAAAGUGUGCAAAAGUCUCUUCUUAGUUCAGAACAGUUUGUAUUUGAAGAGGACCAAAAAUGGGCUUCAUUAAUGCUUCCAACGGAUAGAAGGAAGAUGAAGAGUCAGCUAGCCGUUGGGGCUGUCGGACGUCCGACGACCAAAUCAUCGUCCGAACCUAUCGUCCGAAAAUAGCCAAGUUGUAGUUCGGACGUCCGAUGAGUUUUUAUCGUCCGACAGCAUCAGCGUCCGAUCGUCGUCAAAGAGUUGGCAAGUCUUCUUGGAAUUUUUCGAACGUCCGACGCGGUUGAUGUGAGUCCGAGGCGUGCGUCCGAUCCUUCCGGACGUCCAACGCUUCCUUAUGAGUGUGCGACAGAGCUUCCUUAUGAGUUUUUAUCGUCCGACAGAAUCUGUCGGACGUCCGACAUGAGUGUCCUGUUUUUGCUUCUCCUUUUGGUUGAUUUUCAUUUCUUGACAUAUUCGUACCUGAUUCUUUGAUAGGCAAAAAACACUUACAUUUGAAGAGAGUUAGAUAAACAUUUCAAAGUACUUUGUGAUCAUCAAAACCCAAGAAUAACACUUAUGCUUCAAAUUUGUUUCUUGUGGUUGCUGGGAGGGUUAGUCCACUUUUAAGGGAGAUUCUGUCAAAAUUUUUCCAAAACCGUAUACAUAUAUAUAUGUAUAUAUAAUAAUUCUACUAAAUAAAUAAUAUUUUGUCACUUAUCCUUUUGAAAUAAAUAUAUUUAGCUUUGAAACUUCUUUUCUCAUUUAAUUUGGAAAUGACUAUUAUGUGAUUAUAAUUUUUACAUCUAUAGGAAAGUAUAUCUAGUAAGUGGAGAAAAUUAUGCCUACAUUUUGCAUAUUCGAUGAAAAUUCUUCUUUUUAUCUGAUUUUAUAAGUUAAAAAAUUAAUAUGGUCAAUAAGUGUCAUACUUUUCUCAUGAUUAUUCUUAGAGGGAAUUUUAUUAUUUCUUUAUAUAUAUAUAUAUAUAUAUUCUACUCCAAUGGUUCUUGUACUUAGUAACCGGGAGUCUUCAUCUACAAAUGUCGACUCUCGCGUAAAACGGUACUUAAAUUAAGAGUAUGAACUGCAACUUGAAUAUGUGAAAUGUUGAGUAACCGAUGAUUUUCAUCUAAAAAUGUCGAUGUUCGCACCAAAAGACAUUUUUUUCACAACUUAAGUAGUAUUUAACUCUUAAAAGAUAUAUAUAAAAAAUAAGAGAAGAAGCAAAAGGAAAAAAAAAAAGAAAAUAAAGCCCUCUUUAAGAAAAAUAAGAAGUUGAUCAUGAGAUUAGUUAGCAUUUUUAUUGACUAUAGGAGUUGUUUGCUUGUGAAAUUGAAUAAAAAUGAGAAGUUGAGUUGAAUUAGUAAAAUUAUGGUAUACUUGGAUCUUCUUUGUUUGAAAAUUUGAGUGCUUGAAGUUAAUUGAAAGAUCACAUAAGGGUUAUUUACCAUGAUUCAAUGAAGUGAAGUUGAAAUGCUACGUAUGUUUAUUUUCAAUCUUGGAAUAAUUGUUGGUUAAUGUUUUUAAUUGUUUGAGGACAAGCAAUGAUUCAAGUGUGGGGGUAUUUAAUAAGGGUUUAUUUUACGUAUUUUUAGGUGCAUUUUAUUAGUUGAUUUUAGUUUGAUUUCUUAGUUUUAUAACUAAAAUAAAUUGAUUUUGGUAAAAAUAUACAUUGUUUGGUAAAAGUGGCAAUUAUUGCAUUUCUAUUGAUUUUAGUAAUAAAACUUCAUUUUUAUGCAGGUUUAAUGAUUCAAUCAUCAAAAUAUGUCAAGUGAGAUGAAAAAUAGAUAUUUGGUGAUGAAUUCAAGUGGUUAAAAGAGAAAUGAAGUGAAAAACGAUCAAAGUGAGAAAAUGCAAUUCAAGACAGUUUUGACACUUUUCGGUAUUUCGUCUAUAUCUGAAUCUACACUUAUCGGAUUGAAGUAAUUUUUAUACCAUUUUAAAGCUAAGAAAAAGACCUACGAUUGUUAUGAAGAUAUCGAAAUGCAAUUUUGCUGUUUCCAUGGACAAAAAGUCGGAACACAAUAGCUGCACUCUGUAGUCGAAAAUCAAAACAAGGGUUUGACUAGGUGAUAGUAUUUCGACCAUAUCUCAGGUUACAAAACUCCGAUUUGGACGAUUCUUGAAGAAUUGUAAAGCUAACUCAAAGGAUUUGUGUUUUUCACAAAAACUAGUUCGACCUACAUCAUAGAGAAAAUAGCAGUUGAAGCAAGGCCAAGUUGAAAACGCGAGUUGACAAAACACGAAUUUAUGCCGCGUUUUGUGUAGUCGCAUUUUGUAGCCGAAAAGUUGCCAUUUGCUCAGCCAUUUUUCUUGUAUUCAUACUAAUUUCCAGCCAUAAGUUGCAAGGGAAUUCGGUGCACGUGCUUCAAAAGACAAAAGAGCAAGAAAGGUGGCUUAUUUUCAAGUCAAAAACAUUGGUUAUUGACUAUCCUAAUAAAGUUGAAAUUUGGGAAUCAAAAGGUGGAAUUUGACUUGGAAAAAUGGAGCUCUUGAGCAGUUUUUAUGCAGAGAUAUUGGGAGAGGUCUGGACACCAUACGUAGGGAGUUUUUCAGCUGGUAACAUUUUCUCUCUAGUUAGAAGUUCUUGAGGAAGCAAUUGGAGACUUAUCUUGUAAUCAUCUUGUACAAGAACAUAGCAGAAAUGUGAGGGCUUCACCAUUAAUUGGCUAAACUUUCUUCUAUCUUUCUUGUAAUUGUACUUUAUGAUGUUUUGCAUUAAUAAACUUGUGAAUUUGAUUUUUAUUUCAUUCAUGAGUAGCUAAUUUUCUUUAUCUAGGGAGUAGAUAAAAUUUAUGGUUAAAUAAUAUGAAUGGAAUGUGAUUUACACUUGUUAUAUCUUUAUUAACUUGUCUAUUUGUGCAGUUGUAAUUACUUGUCGUUGUUUGAUCACCAAUAGCAUGCUCAUAGUUGUUAUUAAUCAAUGAAAAUUGAUAGUAACAAUAGAAAAAUGUGAGUAGAGCUUGAGUUGUAUGUUCAUGAAAAUAGAUGUACACUUAAGUGAAUUUUCCAGCAUUUCAUGAAAGAAAACAGAGUAGAACUAGUAUUUCACCAUGAAAAUAGGGAAAACUAUAUUGUUCUAGGCCAUUUCAUCAUGAGAAUGAGAUUUGGUAAUAUUGGAAAUGAAUCCAUGGUUAAACAAGAAAAAUAACAAGAGGUAAAUCUAUUCAUUUGUAUUGUUUAUGGCAUAAGUGGAAUCUACAUCCCUAGAUUCAAUCUUUAGUGAAAUUUCUCCAUUUGCAUUUAACAUUGAUUAAACUAGAUUUGUAGACAAUAGCAGCAUUAUAAUUUUUUUGCUCAGAUUUAUUGUAAGUCUAAAUAAUAGAGAAAAUAAGGGCCUAGUACUUGUUUAAUUUGCUCCUCGUGGGAUCCACCCGAUACAUAUCCUACAUUACGAUUUUGACCCGUACACUUGCAGUCAACGGGUAUAAAAUUGGAUUUAAACUUGCAUUGAUAUUAAAAUUCCGUCAAAUUUUUGGCGCCAUUGCAGAGGAUGACGAUGAUGCCGAGGGGGAUGACUGACUUGGC
RNAcentral lists this long non-coding RNA (59729 nucleotides) under Coffea arabica (coffee). Its description in RNAcentral is "long non-coding RNA (CARA_LNC007315)". Lineage: Eukaryota; Viridiplantae; Streptophyta; Magnoliopsida; Gentianales; Rubiaceae. The record is from RNAcentral.